AGUAUAGUAUUAAUAUUCAAGGUAAGAAAAUUUACAUUCCUAUACAUUCUGAGUUACAUAAAAGAAAACUAACAGUCAGGACUAAAAAUGUAGCGGGGCGGUAAAGAAACACAAUUUAGAAGCAGUAAUAAGUUCAGCAGCGUCAACAUCUUCCAACCAUUAUCAGCAGCAAUGCAGCAUCAGUACCUGCAGCAUUGGACAACCUUAAUAUCUCUUCUUUCUGCCAUUCACUUAGUAACCUACAGCCACUGUGUAUUUCUUCUUCCUUGUCACAGUACUAAAACCAAAUAUAUCACAAAGUUCAUCAUAUGGUAAUAUGAAGAUAAACCAAGCUAUUGGAACCGAUAUGGUGUUACGUCUCAGACAAUAUCAUAAGCUGACAUGGUUGUUGUUAGUUAACACCUAACAAUAAUGAAACUAAGAAUGAAGACCACUUUUCUGGCUGGGGAAGAAGAUGUUGUGACCUCCUCUUCUGAUACAGAAUCAAGAUUCGAAUCGGACUACUAAAUCAAUUAUUGUGGGCAAGUGGUACAAUUUAGUAAUGUAAAAACCGUGUGCCUCUGCUUGCUCAAUGGCGUGUAGUCUUCAAAAGACUCAUCGUCCUGUAAAGAUAGGUUCAAUCAUAGAAAAAUAAUGAAUAGCAAAUACUACUACAACAAUGAUUAUGUGAGAAAGAAUAGAUGUGUCGUUUCCUGAGUAAACGUGAUGCCUUCGGAGUUUGAGAAUACAGACCGGUCGAUGGACUAAGGAUAAAAAGGCCUAAUUGAAAUAGGUUGCCUAAAUUUGAGCAUCGGGCGUUGGAUACGAUAUGUGUUCCCUUAAGAAAAACCAAAAAAAUAUUCAGAAUCAAGGAUAAUUGCCUUGUCCUGCUCAUUGGAAUAAAUGGUUCUUUACUACAUCAUAACAACAUUAUACAGCAAUGAUCCACUAAAAUCUUCAAUUUGAAAAAUAAUGCUAAGCUUAUUAAUUGGUAAGUUUUGAGCCUAAAAUUUAAAGCAUUGGGGGAAUAACUAUUAUAUAAAUAAACUUCUGGAACUUGUAAUAGACUCUCACGCAUCAGGGAAAAAAAACUCUAACAAAUCAAAAUAUAUUAAAACAUUAUAAAUCAAUCAGGAAUGUACCUUUUUAGCAUUGACUACGUGCGAAUCCAUCUUCGAAGGACUGGCCCAAACGUUUCAAUUGUGGUAUUUGUCUUGGCUAUUUUUACAAUUUUACCAUCAAGUGCUCUUCCACUUGGCUGCUCAGUUAAGAAAAAUUCAUUAAGGGAAAAUGUUGUAAAUCCUUUGGCGGAAUUUUUUUCCUCUUACUCAGUGGAGGACAUGAAAUAUAGUUGUUACCUAAUGGAUUGAAACAAUCAACUACAAACAAAGCAAGAUAAAAGUUGUAAGUUCAUUUGAUAGCAUGCAACAUGUGUGUAUGCCUGAAGAAGAAACAAAACUAUUAACUGUGGCAUACCAGAAAUACCAUAGUAUCAAUCUGAGAGUUUAAAAAAAAUGAAAUUGGUAAUCAAUCCAACUUUCAAAAACAAAGAAAAAUAUAUGACAAAUAAAAGUAAUCCUACCAUUUUAUAUUUGUUGGACCUCCUUGGUGAGGGAAUGAUUGGAAAUUAAUAGGAGAGGGAAGAGAGACUAAAAGUCGCAGCUAAGUUUCAGAUGCCCUUUGAGGUCUCUUUCUUCGAGCUGACACCAAAUUCCAGUUUCGUGAUCCUAAAUCAUCAAAAAGCAAAACCUUAAUAAAUUUAAGAAAUUUCUCUUACCAAAAACUUCAUUAUAUUGCUAAGAAAGGGGGAAAAAAACCCUUACCAGAAUUACAGACGGAUGAUAUAUUGUAGUAGGUGAUAUUUUUCCAUCUCCAGAUGAUGAUGAUUUAUCCGUCAAAGGUGUCUCUGUUGCAUAAUCCUGCGAAAAAAAACAUAUGUUUACAACACAAACAAUGGAAAAUUCAAACACAUAUAAUCCUUUUAAAAAUCAAGAUGAGAUAUUUGGAAACCUAUGUUUGGACAUGAGAAGGAGAGUGAGAGAUUGAGAAAACGCAAAAAAAGAAAGAGAGAGAGACUCUGAAGUUGAAUAAUAGAAGACUGAAGUCGAUAAUGAAAUAGUUCCUUCUCGUUCUCUUCAAGCACGUUGUGGAAAGAAUCUUGUCACUGAUAGAGGUCGAAAAUCACUUCUUUCCUUCUGCCCACAUGUUCUUUAUGAUAAAGAUCGUCAAGAAAGCGGUGGAGUUGAUACCAAAUGACUUAUUUGAUUAUGUGGAUACAAAUCAACCUAAUACAAAUAAAUAAGUUGAUAUUUCAUUGACGUCCUCCAAAAAAAGAACAACAACAAUAGAAAGGCAUAUAAUUAACUUAAUCUAUUACCUUUGUAAAAAUAUCUGAUGAUCCUGCUGCCUGAUCCAAACCUGUAUCUGUAUGAUAGCACCUGCAAAUGGGUUCGGCAUGGAAAUCCAAUACGUAUACACAAAGAGCCAAUUAUUUUCCCGAGAUUUGUCAAAAAAAUAUUUUUCACAGAUAGAAUAUCACAUAUAUGUAGUGCUCUAAAAAUCGAAAACUAUACCAAAAAAAAUUUACGGUCCCAUUCCACAACAAUAACCAAUGAUGAAUCAUUCAAAAUGGUUAGAUAGUCAACAAUAACCCAUUAUAUGAAUAUGUAUGUUUCAUGCAUCAUAAAAAAUGAACGGCAAUAAAAUAUUCAUCUAAUCAAUCGGGAAACAGCAAACAACAUACCUUUUAAAGAAUUCAUUGCAGCAGGGAGAAGAAGUUGUGAAUACAAUGCUCAGUAAAACCCUAUAACUGAAAACCUGAUUUUUGGAAGAAAUCUUAUCUAAAAGCAAUAAAGCUUGAACUCCAACAUUGAAUUUUUUUACGUGAAUGUGGCAGAUGACAGUAUAUAUAACUAUGCAAAUAUUUAUUAACCUGAAGAAUAGUUAUUUAUCUUGUAAUCUGUAAUCAAACAAAAUUCAGUCUCAGCACUCAAUUUGAAGGACUCAUUCUCAUUUUAACUAAACCAAGGUUAACAUCUAGCAUUGAUACUGACCAAUUUAAAUGACUCCAGGUAAAAAGAAAUUUGCCGAAAAUCUGUUUUUACAAUUCACUGACUGGAAAUGCACUUUUAUAAGUUUAUAGAACUUGCUUUUUAGUCAGAAUUCAGAAUAAUGCAUAGGUCGGUAUCGGCACUCUAAAGUCUAAACACACAGAUUACAAAUCUUUAAUCGUUUGGGUUUGAUAAAAAAUGAAGUAAAUUAAAUAUUAUUUACGUGUAAAUAUUUCAAUGAUCAAGGCACAUGAUGGGGGGGGGGGAUAGGGUGCAAAAUCUCCAACCUUGUAGUUCCUUCAACUAAUUAUGCACAUAAUGUUAAAAAUCAAAACUUAUCAAAAAAAAAAUGCAAAUGCUAGAGGAAUGGCUUGACCCCUCGACUUUGUGGGUUAAAAGUCACAUGUUUCGACCAACCGAGCUACACCAGACAUUUAAAUAAAAUAUGGUGGAGAAUGGAAUAUUCUAAAUAAACAUGACAUUUUGAAAAACCAAUCCUUGCCAAUGUGUUGUGUGCUGUUGCAAGAGAUAAAGAAAGAAAAGUACUACAUAGGUAUAGGAAAAAAAAGGAAUCAGGAACAAAAAGUAAUAACAGGGCUCAAUAUGAUCACAAUGGCUUAACCUUAAAUGCAGGUAACAGAGAGCCACAGGGGAAGGUGUCUUGGAUACUUUAAAUCAAAGGCGGGUCAAAGUAAAUGUCGAUUAAGCAUUUUUGGACUGCUAAACCUAGGUAGGAGAAGUAACUAACAAUAUGGCAAAUUACUUCAUCCAUGAAUAGUUUAGAUUGCUUACAAAAAUAAGAAGACGCGCGUGCUCAAAAUCAUAGCAUGAGUCCACUACCGAAAACAACCUCGACAUACCUGCACGACAUGAACCUUAAAUGACCUAGAUGCGUAUGGAAGUGGACGGAGAAGAACCAAUAAUAGGUUGAACAUGCUCAAGCUGAUGACCAUGAUCAUUAAUGUUUAGCCCAUCAUCUCUUGUAGAUGCAUUUAUCUGAAAAAAUCAUUCGUUGCUCAAUUCUCAUAAUCAAGGUUAGACCCCAAAUGAACAAUUUAAUCAAUGAAAAAGUAUAUCCAUAAUCUACUUGGUAUUGUAAUAAGUCCACCAAUGAUAGAUACCCAUUUGGAGAUGAUGUCGAAAAAGAGACAGUUAAUUUGCAGCAUCAUCAUAAUCAUCUAUUAUAGAAGAAAAGUAUAACAGGUUUUUAUGUGGCUGGUUUCUUCAAAUCCAAUAGAAAAGGAGAUCACAAAUGUGGCCUGAAUGUACAUACCACAACUCGUCGCCGGAAUUGUCUAUGUAUGUCUACCUCCGUUUGUUGUUCCAUAAUAGUUAUAUCUGUACGAUAAAAUUUAGAAAUCAUUUAGCAAUGAGGAAGUAUAAAAAUAAAUGGUAGAUUUCACUGUGAAAAAUAAGAUUUGCUUCAUGCGAAGGGAAUACCCAUUGGCAGCUUGUAUAUAUCAUGCUAAAAAAACAUUACAAAUGAAGGUCUCUUAAAAAAGCUUAGAAUAUCAUGACCACAGAGAAAAUCAUUAUCCUAUUUGACAAUCAAAUUAGAUUAGUAUCUCAUACAAUAUGUAGCAGAUGACAACAAUUCAAUUUUGAACAAACUCCUGAACAUAGUAAUCACUUGUAAACUAAAUCUUUGUUCGCAUAUGAAUUUUAAAUCAUAUUAGUUUAUCUAUGUUACCUUUUAGUCAAUAUUUGUUUUGGUAGCUAAACACCCACAAAUGUUUGGCAAGUCUAUAGUGGGCAGACGUUGCUUCGUCAAUCACUCAAGCCAAAAGUUUGUAGCCUCUGGCAGCAGCUAUCUGAGCCUUAGCAAAUGCAACAGGAACUCAUAAUCAAUUCUCAUGACCUCACCUGUGCUACAUAUCUAAAGCCAAAGAUCACAGCCUUGAAACUACAAUGUCUUCGACAGGGACUUGGCAGACAUGACCAGGGAUGUAUACCUAGCCAAUGAAUGCUGAAAUGCCUUGGACAUAUAACUCACAUUAAAAUACCUUGCUAUGAGAAAAGUAUAUAAGGGGAAGGGCCAAAACAUGACCAAUAGGGCUUGAAUUGACCUUAAAGAGAGCAGGGGUACGAAAAGCUAUCUGUUGAUCAACUCGUCUUCAGUUCGUAGAAGCCAUUUCUUGUCAGUUGAGAUAAUAUUUUGCACCAAAAGGAAUUAAUGUGCAUCUAGCAACUCUUGUAGCUGGUUACAGACCUAUUAUCUACUUUCAUUCUUUUCCUCAUUGCUUUUAUACAAAACAUGUAUGCGAUCAGGGGUAGGGAGACAUAGUCACAUAGGACAUACCUCAAUUGCUCCCAGUCCAGUCCACUCCCUUUGUGCGUGCAGAUAUUUGCAAUAUUAAAUAAAAUGAUGGUGAGAUUUUAUAUCAAUAAUAAGGAAAUGUCCACGAUCAAGUUCAAUGGUCAAUAGUGUGGCAAGUAAUUACUAAAUCCUACUACAACAUGGUGUUUUUGUCUAUCCGAACAUUUUUCUCGUUCGUCUAUCACUAAUCAUAACUGGCUAAGCUUUUCAGUUUUGUCAAACCAUUAUUACCAAACUAAGGGCAAAUUUUUUGAAGAAGGACUUACUUUGAAAGAGAAAUACAAUAUCAAUAUUUUGAGGAAUUUGGAAAAUCAAAUAAAUUUGAAAGUGAACUCAUGAGAGAAGAAUAAUGGAGUAUAUAUAAUUAGCAGAACAAAACAAUAAAUAGCAAAUGACAAUGGAAUACUGACCUUGGAAAUUGUAAAUUGAAAACUCACACGACAAAGGGAAGCUCAUUUGAUGAUGAAACCACAGUAGUGAAAUAAUUGUAAAUGAGCAUUUACAAAUAAACGUAUCUCAUAGUAGAAGAAUAAAUGUAAAUAGCAAAUUACAAAUUACAAAUAAGCCUCACCUUGGGCAAAAGCAAAAUUGUCGAAUCCAAAGAGAAAUUGCAAAUACACAAUUGUUGGGUGUAAAAUCUGAGGAGAAAUUGCAAUUCGUUGGCCUAGGGAACGACGUUCAGAAGAAUUAAUACAAUGGAACGGAUCAGAAAUUAUCUGGGAAGAAGUUGCGACUGGGACCCUGAAUGAAGUAAUAAUACAGGAACAACAAAACAGAUGAUGCGGUCUAUCAAAACCGAAAACAACAUGGGGAAGGAAAACACUUACAACACAUAAUAAAAAAAGGGACAUCCCGCACAACACCUGAGGUAGAUGGAAUCGAAGUCGCAGAUGGAAACCGUAGAGGUUGCAAGCUGCUUAACCAAAACAAAAACCUGAAAUCCAAACCGGGGUGGGAAAAAACUGAGAAGGACUCAAAGUACAGAAGACAAACCUAGGAAGAUUCUGAAGGACAGCAGAUUCCGAACCAAGCGCAGAGGAAGCAAGAGGGGCAGCAACAACAGGGGGAACUCGGGAAAGAGCCUCCCUUGCUCUUCUAGCUGAGGACGUCGUAUAUAAACCAAAUAUGUGAAUGUAUGAUGCCGUGUGGAAACCAAAUAAUAUUAGCAAAACCAUGAGGUGCUCCCCGGAAGGGGGGAUUUGUGAAUCCAAUAAAGAAUAAUAUUCAAGACCAAAUCUAAAGGUUCUUGUAUAUAUAUCAUAUACCAAAUCUAAAGGUUCAUAUAUAUAGAUAAUGUAUAUAUACCAAAUCUAAAGGUUCAUUAAAAGGAAGACAGAAUCAUGUGAAACUAAACAUAUAUAAAAACAACCUAAAGGGCCAGAGAUCUUAAAGAUAAAUCUAAAGGCUCAUAUAUGCAUACCAUAUAUAAAUACAGGAACGAAUAAGUUGGGAAGAACCUGAGGUGAAUGCGAGGGACGCGGAAGAGACUGAGGAGCAACUGCAAUGAAAUCAAAAUAAAGGAACAAUUGUAAAUCAGCAAUUACAAUUAAAUGCCUAAAUACAACUAAGUCUCUAUUUAAUAAAGUCAGCAACUAUUAAACUCAGCAACAAAGUUGCAUAAAUUGGGCGCACACAAUUUGCAAUCAAGGUUUAUGAAAGAACAAAUAGAAAAAAGAAAUCAAGGGCACAUACUAUAUAAAUUCCAAAGCGGGAGAACUAUUAAAUUAAAAUCGAGAGCUGAUUCAAUAGAGGCAAAUAAUUGUACAAUCACAAUGAUUUCCAAACAAACUCUACACUAAGAAAAAUACCGUAAUUAAACUAAUUAUUUAACAAAAAAAAAUUAAAUUGAAAUGAUUGACUUAACAGAGAUUAUUGGUGGAGAAAGAAUAUUAAGGAUUCUAAAUUGAAAAUUAAGGUAAAGCUAUCAAAUUGUCGACUAAAAACAACAUCAUAAAAAAAAAAAACAAUUACUGAAAAAAAACAAUCAGAUUGAUGGAAGAGAAAAUAGUAAAUUGAAAAUUAAGGUAAAGCUAUCAAAUUGUCGACUAAAAACAACAUCAUAAAAAAAAAAAACAAUUACUGAAAAAAAACAAUCAGAUUGAUGGAAGAGAAAAUAGUAAAUUGAAAAUUAAGGUAAAGCUAUCAAAUUGUCGACUAAAAACAACAUCAUAAAAAAAAAAAACAAUUACUGAAAAAAAACAAUCAGAUUGAUGGAAGAGAAAAUAGGGCAGCAAACAGGAGAGAGAAGAGGAGAUAAAGAUAACCUGUUGAGUUCCGAUAUGAUGGAGAAGAUUGAUGGAAUUUGAGAAGAUAUAAAAGAGAAGAGGAGAGAAGAGGAGAGAAGAGAAAAUAGGGCAGCAAACAGGAGAGAGAAGAGGAGAUAAAGAUAACUUUUACACCUUUGUAGUUUGUACUGGAUCAGGGCAGAUUGUUACAUUGCGACGGGCAGGGCCGGACGAACUUUAGAAGGCGGGCACACAAACGGGAAAACCGGGAGACAAAGGGGCGAUCCCAGCCGCCGAAAGAGCUGCCCGAAGAAGAAGGAGCGAUCCCAGCCGCAGGCGCGACCUGCCCGCCCGGGCUGCCCAAAACUCUGCGUUAUAAUAAGUAGAUAACAUAUUUGAAAGUCGUAAAUUUUCUAACAAUCAAUCAUAAAUAAACAUGUCUUCGUCUCCAUGUAUGUAUCCAAACUGAAAUGACAAGACAAAGAGAACUAAAAACUCAAACAACACUCCACUCUGCUAAUCAUCUUCAUUGAAAGGAAAAGGACACUAAACACUAAUUUAUCACUAAUACACUCCUUUUGUUUUGCCACAAAUAGUCAAAUACACUAACUAAUGGUUGCAACCAAUGGGUUUUCAACAGUUGUGCGAAAAGUGACUAAACCCUAAUUUUAUAUAUAUAUAUAUAUAUAUAUAUAUAUAUAUAUAUAUAUAAACAUGAUAAAAUCUAAGAGCACAAAGUCAUAGUCAGAAACUCAGAAUCACUAAGCUUGGUUCUAUUUCUAUAUGGUGAUGGUGAUGGUGAUGGUGAUGGUCUCAUUAGCACAUUCUCUGAGUUUUUACAGAUACCACAUUAUUCAAAUUUCAAACAUAUAAAUAAAUCCCUAAAUCAUAAAACCCUAAUCUAAGAUUUUAUAUCAAAUUCGAAAAAUCUUUGAAAUUAAUUAAAUUUUAUAUAUAUCAAAGAGAGAUUUGGUUGGAUACCUUGAUGUAAACAUUCUCAGCAGCUUUUUUUUUUUCACUAAGCAUUUUUCCACCGCUAGAUAACCUUCGAGAUACAUAUCUUGAUGAGAUUCUUGCUGCCAUCACUUCACUUCUCCUUCUCUCUCUCUUUCGUUUAACCAAGCAGCUGAUUUCUAUAGUGUGGUGGUCAGGACUCAGGACUCAGGACUCAGGACUCAGGUGUAUCACGUAUCAGGUGUGUGGGUUCAUUCUAUAAAUAUUGGGGUGUAUAUAAUGUUACUUUCUAAGCCCAAGCCCAAUAACAAAUUUGUGUUUACGCCCAUUGGGCUAGGAUUUGUAAGAAGCCUGCGUUUAAGUUAACCUUUUUAACCAGAAAGAAACCCUACUUGUUCAUUCCACUCUCGAACUUCAUCUUCUUCGCUCGAACUUGCUUAAGGGAAAGAAAUGGUAUUGUUUCUCUCUAUAUAUCUCAUUGAAUCUUGAAAUAUCCAUUUUAUUUGAUUUGCUUGUGUUUUAAUUGAAUUGUUCUUUCUAGACUCGGCAGCUCCACCAAUCUGGAGGAGGAAACCAGAAGAAGAAGGUAAAUUUAUGGGUUUUUUUGGGGUUUAAAUGACUUUUUGUUGUUGUUGUUGUUGUGUGUAGAAAUGAAGCAAGGGUAAGCAAAAGGAGAAGGUUAACAACAUGGUUUUGUUUGAUCAAGCUAGUUAUGACAACCUUCUUUCUGAAGUGCCUAAGUAUAAGCUUAUUACUCCAUCCAUCUUGUCUGAUAGAUUGAGGGUAUGUUUUUUAAUCCAUUUUAUUUGUUUAAUUUACAAGUAAAUAUGACUUUUUUGUUGUUCAAGUACUAGAUUUUCCUUGUUUUAUUAUAUAUUUGUUAUGCAUAAUAAUGGGUUUUGCUUGCUGUGUAAAAACACAAUAGUUGAUUGGAUUUGUGAUUCUUUACAUAAUAUGAAACCUGCUUGUUCAGUUGCUCUACUAUUACACAAGUCCGAGUUGGUUGUUGAAUGCUUUGUAUCAUAGUGAAUGUGAAUGCAUACAGGUGUUAUUUUAUUGUUUGAAUUAAGAUAUCAUCCUAACAUUCAACUUUUUGGUAAAGUGAGUAUCUAUAAAUGGAGGCAGUUCUUUGAGUUAUAAUGACCGUUAACUUAAUGUAACUCAUGUUUUUGUAUUCUGAUGUGUCAGUGAACAAUAUGGAUACAUUUCUUUGAGAAAUGUAGAUAAAUAAGUGUUAAUGAUGAAAUGGUUUGAGGCAUAGAUAAUUGUUUUUCCAGCAUUAUGUUGUUUGGUCUGUAUGAGUUACAUUCACAUUUUUCCCCUAUCAGUGAUGUAGUUGGAUCUAUAAAAUUGUGAUGUUCACACCAUCUUCAGUUUCUUAGUAUAGUGGUUGACCAGAUAUAGGGUGAUUUAGGUUUUGGUCACCACUUUUUAGUAUAAAUUAGGUUUUGGAGCCGGUUUUUAUUUUUAUUAGGGUUUAGAGCUGAACCGACACUUGACCCAAGUAAUUGUUUAUAAUGGCCAAAAUACCCCUGAUCAAAACUAUAUUAGGGUUAGUGAUCACGUGCAGAUCACUUGAGUUCAGGGGUAAACUUAGGUAUUUUGAAAAUAUUUUCGAUUCAACCGGGUUUUUUUAGUUGUUGGUUCGAAAAUGAGCUCUAAACCCUAAUAAAGAUAAAAACCGGCUCCAAAACCUAAUUUAUACUAAAAAGUGGUGACCAAAACCUAAAUCACCCUAUAUCUGGUCAACCACUAUACUAAGAAACUGAAGAUGGUGUGAACAUCACAAUUUUAUGCCUUAUUGUAAACAAUCUUAUUUCAUACAUAAUAUUAUCAUUUCUUAUUAGGCCAAUUAGAAGAACUCUAAUCCAUCUAACCUGGUAGAUAUAUGCAAGAAAAUCCUAAUUGCUAACUAGCUGGGGUGUUAUAAAAAAAAACAAUUAAGUACUUUUUCAAUAAAUUAAAUCAAGCUAUUUCAAUCAAUAACUAGCUAGGGCAUACAACUGUAUCAUUCUCAUAAAUUUUUAUGCUCAGAUUAAGCGCGCAGAACUUAUGAAGAUAAAAGAGUAAAACUUUGCAAGCGCAUACCAGCAAAAGCAUCAAAAGGUUCAUCUCCAGCUGAGUGAGAACCAUUAGAUGUUGAAGGGGAGGUGACCAAAAUCUGUGACAUGCAGUAAAAUCCAUUAAGAAAAAAUAGACAAAUUUACUAAAAAUAAAAAAAAAAAAAUGUCUGCAUAUUAAAAUCAUUCAUUGAUGUUCACUGGAAUGAGAUUAUUAUAUAGUUUAUAACAUGCUAAUAAAUAAAAACAUCACAAGAAAAUAAAAUAUAAACUGAGAUCUCACUCAUUGUCUCCUUGAUUUUUUAUGCCUUCUACUACUCUCAACAACUUCAAAGGACUCAUCUGGAUUAUUGAAUACCAACUCUUCCUCUAUUACAACAUCAAGGUUGUUAGGCCCCACAUUUAUUUCAUUCACUGUUAUACCAUCUGAUAAGAGACGUGUUUCAUCAUCUUCCGAAUAAACCUUUUUAGGAACUUCUAAUACUACAUGCCAAUCAUGAGCCUUUGGAUCCUUGGAAUAAAAAACUUGAGAGGCAUGCUCUGCGAGGAUAAAUGGUUCAUCACCCAUUUGGUCGGAACUAAAUAGAUUAGACAAGUUUACCAAUUUCAAGUUUGCCUCCUUGUCAAUUCUCACACCAUGUUGUGUGCACUUAACCCAAUCACACUUGAAUAUAAUAGGCUUGUACCCACUUCUAUAAUCCAACUGAAUAAUUUUUCGGAGAACACCAUAAUAUUGUGCAUUGUAAUCAAUUGGAUUCUUAUCCUUAGCGCUAGAUCGGUCAGUAGUCGGACAACUUGUACUAAUACCACUAUUUUGGUUCUUUUUCGAUUCUUGAUAAUCUUUGGUGAUAAAUAGAAAACCACUGAGACAAUAUUUAUUAUACUUUGUCGCAACACGUGUCGGUCCUCUCACAACAUCCCUGAAAUGAACAUCAUUUGAAUCUAUGAACUCAGGUUGAUUUUUCAGCCAUGGAGUAAACUCUAACACAGGUACCCUAUGUUGCCCUGUCUUUCUUCUUGUGGAUGCACUAUUCUUUUCAAGAUAUUCGGUGUACCUCCUACGCAUUACAAUUUAAAUUAGACAACUACACAUUAAUAAAUAAAAUUGGCAUAUUUUUUUAAUAGUUGUAUGUAAAAAAAUCUUACAUGUUCCAGUUUGGAUAACUUGGAUGACUUUUUAAUACCCACUGGCGUGCUUGUUCGUAUUCAACACCUUCCAAACUAUAGUAUUUACUAGGGCCAACUGGACCAGUCUCAUCAACCAUGGAAUCCCCACUAACAUUAUCAAACAAAUCAGGCAAUGUGGGAGUUAAGUUUUCACCCAUUCUAUCAAGUUUCUCUUGGAUGCCACCCCCACAUUUGUACCCAGAACAGUAGAUUAAUGUUUCUUCCUUCAAAUAGCGCUCCGCAAUGCAACCCUCAGGACGUGCUUUGUUUGCAAUAUAACCUUUAUAAGUUUUCAUCAUCCUUCAUAAAAUUUAACAUGUAUCAGUAUAGAAAAAACAGGUAAAAUAUAAUAAAAUAACAAAGAAUAUAAUAGAAACAAAAUAUUUACCUUUCAAAUAUGUACAUCCAUCGGAAGAAGACCGGCCCACAUACACGAGCCUCAUAGGCUAGGUGAAUCGGUAGAUGCAUCAUUAUAACAAAUAAUGAUGGAGGGCAAUAUCUUUCUAGAGCACAUAGUGUCUUGACCAUACCCCUUUCCAAUGCAUUUAGUGUUUCAAUGUCUAUUGUUCUAGAGCAUAAAGCAUUAAAAAAUGUGCAAAUGCUCGUGAGUAUAGAUCGAGCUGCCUUUCUCUCAUUAUCUCUAUAUGCAUGUUGAAUCAACAUUGGGAGCAAAUGUUGCAUCAAAAUAUGAUAGUCAUGUGAUUUCAUCCCUUUUAAAUCCACAGAAUCCCCUUUGACAAUACGACCCCAAUUACUACUAAAGCCCACUGGCACACGCAGAUUUUGUAAUGUUUGAAGGAACAACUUCUUUUCUUCUUUUUGAAGCCAAAAGAUCCCUGGUCGCAUCUUUUGUUUGCCAUUGACUUCAGAUAUCCAAUAUUUCUUUUUUAUUUUUAAACGCUUCAAAUCCUUACGUGCAUUGAGAUGAUCCUUGGUUUUGCCCUUCGUGUUCAACAUCAUUGCAAGAAGGAUUUCACAAACGUUCUUUUCAAUAUGCAUGACAUCUAAGUUAUGACGAACAGGAAUAUACUUCCAAUAUUCAAGACCAAACAAUAUCGACCUUUUCGAAAAAUACAAGUUAUCUUCCUGGCCUUCAUCAUCAUGAAACUCCUCAACAUCUUGUUGUAUCAUUUUUCCUUUCCCCCAUUGUGUUCUUAAAUUCUUAGUGAUAUUGUCAACCUCAAUCCCAGUCAACCUUAAUGGUUGUUUUUCUUUUUCUUCUGUCUUGUCAAAAGUGCUUUCUCUUAUAUCAUUUCUAGUUUGAUCCUGUAGCGGCAACCAGCGUCUAUGCCUCAUAUACACAUCUUUCAUUCCAUAGUGGAGUCUAAGGGCAGCAGUUUUGGGUCCACAACAAGGGCAUGCAUAUUUUCCUUUGGUCUUGCAACCAGAAACAUUUCCGUAAGCUGGGAAAUCAUGGAUUGUCCAUAAUAAAAUGGCACGCAUAUUAAACACUUCACCUUUUAAUGCAUCUUUUACCAUAACCCCAUCAUGCCACAAGUCAUUCAACUCUUUAACCAAUGGUUGCAAAUAAACAUCAAUAUCUUUUCCUGGUUGUCGUGGGCCUUCGAUAAGCCCCGUGAGUAUAGUAAAUUGCGGUUUCAUACACAACCAUGGUGGAAGAUUGUAAGUUAUACACAUCAAUGGCCAUGAGCUGUAUGAAGUGCUUAAUGUACUAAAGGGAUUGAAGCCAUCAGUGGCUAAUCCCAAUCGUACAUUACGUGAUUCAACCGCAAAAUUAGGAAAUAUACUAUCAACUUGCUUCCACGCUCCUGAAUCAACUGGAUGUGCCAUCUUCUCGGGCUUAGACUUUCCAGUGGAAUGCCAACUCAUCGCUUUCGCCACCCAAUCAACAUUAUACAAUCUCUUCAAUCUAUUUGCAAGUGGAAAGUAACGGAAAACUUUCUCGGGGACCCUUACUCUCUUCUUAAAUUGCUCAAUGCCCGAGAUUUGAUAUCUUGGCACACUGCAGGUAGGACACUUAAGAUUCAGCUUUAUAUUCCCCCCAAUAUAAGAUGCAAUCAUUUCUACAUGCGUGAAUCUUCUCAUAACCAAGUCCUAAGUCAGUGAUUAUUUUUUCUGCCCGAUAGGUGUUCUCAGGUAAUUUAUUUAUUUAUUUAUUUUUUUUUUUUUGGUUGGCAAGCGAGGUUGAGGGGACCCCUACCCCUUUUAAAUUACGUGUCGAAACUUAUAUCAACAAUCAGCUGUUGACGUGUUUCGAACCCACAACCUCUCCACUUUGUGAGAGGGGUGCUACCAUUGAGCCACAGGCCCAUUCGCUCUCAGGUAAUUUAUUACCACGUGGAAACACAACUUUAAGUAAUUGAAGCAAUUCUGUAAAACUAUUAUCAGUCCACCCAUGUGUGAUUUUCAAAUUAAACAAUUUGACAAUAAACCUAAGAACAGUAAACUCUGUGGACCCAUCAUAUAAUGCACUCAUGGCUUCACGUAAAUUUGUAGUGAAGUUGACAUCUUCAAUGACUUCAACCUCUCCUUGAUCACGUUCAAGAAGUGUGUCCAAGGUAUUGGGACUACAACUUUCUACCACAGUACUAAAGACAUCAUUCAUGUUUAUCUCAUAUUCAUUUUCAUGAAUAUUUGAUCUAUUAACAUUCUGACCCUCUACUGGUUUCUCACCAUGCACACACCACACUUUAUAUGUACUAUCAAACCCAUGUCUAUAACAAUUCUCUGUGACCUCAUCAUGCGUCUUUGCUAUACCCUGGUUUUGACAUUUCCCGCAUGGACAAGGUAUGACUGUUUUGUUACGAUGGUGUAUCUUUGUAAAUUCCACAAAAUUUUUAACUCCAUUAAUGAAAAACUUAUCGGAAAAAUUCAAAUGAAUCCAACUCCUAUCUAUUGAGCAUGAGGCUUCCAUUUGUGUAUCUAACAUAUAACAAAUAAAAGUUCAUGAGACUAAAAGUUUUUAAAUGAAUAUGAAAUCCAGAUAACCUUCCAAAACAUAUGGCGUAUUGAAUGAAAAAAAAUACUCAUUUGAAAUAAAAGAAAGAAAAUAAGUCAUCACUAAUUUUUAAAGUCAUUUCAUCAAAUAAGUAGGUGUGGAGCCAAAAUUUCAACAAAUGUGGCAGCAAUUAUCACUUCAGUCUCAUCAUUAAGGAAGACAAGAAAAAAAAAAUAAAGAAGACAUACUCGCAAAAAAAAAAAAAAAAACACUAUUAACCAUAAAGAAGCCAAGAUAAAAUAAUUCGCCUUUUAAAAAUCGAGAGUUGAAAGAGAGAAUGACUUGAAGAGUGUAUCACCUAUAAUAAGAAAUUUAGAGUUAAAUACUCAAGAUAUUGAAAAAUAUAUUAGGUAAAUAAUAAAAAUAACUACUCAUGAAAUUUACAUAUAUUCCAGAAAUUAUAAUGAAUUUAGCGACAUCUAACCAAACAGUAAAGUUGUAUAUAGUUCUACCAAUAUUAUAUAUAGUAGGUGCACUUGCAAGGUUCAAUGGGAACACUCAAGCAGUUUAAGAUACACUACAUAUAAAAAUUCUCUUGGAUUCAUCACAAAUCUCGCAAACUGUAUUAUACUUUCUAAGGUAGUUUGGUAAUCCAUCAUGGAACGAGUAGAUGUCUAUAAUAAUCAAGAUGAUAAUCAAUGCAAAUGCGAGUAGAUGUCUAUAAUAAUCAAGAUGAUAAUCAAUGCAAAUGCUUUAGCGGCCUUAUCUUCCAUUACUUGUAAAUUUCCUGUUCUUCACAACUAGGAAGUAAAUUGAUAUGUUGGUUUAGUACAAGCAAAAUUACAAUAAAAUUAGAUUUUCGAAAUUGGGUAUUCAAAGCAAAUAGAGAAGAUCGAAGAAAUUGCUCGAUUGAGAAAGGAGCUAUAAUUUACUCAAUUUUUUUUUAUAAAAACACAAAGAAAAAACAAAGGGUUGUCAAGAAUUAUAUUGAAAGGUAAGGUUUUUUAAGGAAAAAUUAAACUUUUCAUAAAUCGAUAAGAGACAUUAAAAAAAAUCAAUUUCAAAAAUUCAGACAAUUUAAGGACCAAAUCAACCUAUAUACAACAUAGAGAAGGAACAUGUACCUUAAAGAGAGCAACUUUGAAAACCUAGCUGAAAAAUUCUACACCCAUACAACUUAAUUAGGUUAAAUUAGAUGAAUGGAUAAAUGGAUUUGAGAAAAUUGGUUGUUAAUUCAGUGAGUGUGCGAGAGAAUUUGGGGAAAUUGGUUCAUAACUUAGUGAGAGGGUGAAAGGAUUUGAGAAGUUAGUUCAUACUAUGAACUUCAUAGCACAGUGGAGUGAGAAAGAAGAAGAAGAAGAAAGAGAAACAAAGUGGGGGAAACCUUUUAGCUAAUAGGGUUAUUAUGAAAGAAUUUUUCUUUUCUUUUCGCGGCAAUAUAAGAUAGGGUUUUUAAUUUGGCGCUCAAGAAAAUAAGCAAUUCCUACAGUUUUGGGCUAUCGAAACUGUAUUGUUAAAAUCUGUAAACAGUUGGACGGAUUUUACCCCUAACAUGUCCGUAGCUAAAAAACCAAAAUUUUAGCAUUUUAAUUAAAACUUUACCGACGGUCCUAAGACGAGUUCCCUACAGAUCUAGACCGUAGCUAUUUACCUACAAACAAAGUCUGUCGGCGAAAAACUUUAUAGUCCGUCGGGGAAACCCAUUUUUCUUGUAGUGAGUUGAUCCCUCCAAUUCGUCCAAUUUAGGGAUGGCACCAUAUUCAUGGCCGGGGCUACACAUGGUUCAUAUGUAAUGCAUACCACCACUGCCAUGCCAUUACCAUGUGAACCACAACAAUAACGACUACGGCAGUAACUAUCCUACGUUCUUCUUCACCACUGUCCAUUCUAUAAAACCCCAACAACGUCAAAACUCCACGAUUGUAACACACACUUUAAACACGAUUGUAUUUUAAGUAAAACAAAACUUUUAAAUUUCAAAACAUAUAUUAAAAUGUGCCAUUACAAAUUUCAUUACAAGGUGACGUUAACAUAUCCCAAAGUUAUGUUACAAUUUCUUAAAAAUUCUAAAUAACAAAUAACAACUUUAAUAACACCGCGAUGAUUACAACUAACAAAACUACAAUCAGGUUCUUCACCAACCACCAAGUAUCAUCUAAGGAAAUUGCACGCAUUGUGUUGGGGAUACGGUCAGUCGAAGUAGAAGAAACACAAGAAUAGCUUCUAGAGGCAAUGGGGCUGGGUAGUGGUUGGGAGCAUGCAAGUUCUACUUCGGAGUCCAAGCUCAUGUAGUAAUUCAAAAGUAAGCGAGCUUGUGCGAUUGAAGUACAACCUUCCCAACAUGCUCCUUCAAAAUUCCUAAUCUGAGUAUCGGCUUGAGGCCAGUUUGUAUAAAUACCAGGGUUCCGGCAAUUUCGAACCAGGUAACAUGCAAAUUUACCCAUUUCGAAUUCUGGAAAAUAUAUCGACAACUCACAUAUCUUUUUAUAAACAAACUACCCUAUUACAAAUAACGGUACAUGAUGUAAUCUAAACGAAUUCAAACAAACUACCAUUUCACAAAUAACGGUACUUGAUGUAAUUUAGACGAAGACAUGGUAUCACUUUUCAUCGUGCAUCAUUAUUGACCAUUCCUAAAAUAUGUUCAUAGCAUUUUAAAUAAAAACAUGGUCACAAUAUGUAUAUGCAUUCUCAUUUAAAUAUACAUUCAUUACUACGCAUUUUAGUAUAACAUUCAUUACUAUACAAUGUCAAAAUCGAAGCAUAACAUGUCUAUUAUAAAGUGAAGGAGAGGUCAAAAUUGGCAUACCUUAAGCGCAGCAGCAACAACCCGACACGCAAGCUUAAAAUCGACGCGAACCACAGAGCACAGAAAACUACAACAGUAAAACGAUCCUUGCAUUAUAAAAAUACAAAACAAAAAUAAAACAAAUAGAUCAAAAGAACAAAACAAUGAAUUACCUGUAAUGGAAACAACAAACAGGUACAGAAAUUAUCCCCACCACAAAUUAAAACCACCGUUGCGCAUAACGAGAAACAUACCCCCCCCCCCCCCCCUAAAAAAAACCCAUAAAUCAAUACUUGCAUACAGUUAAAUGUAAAACCUGAUAAGAAGGUUUCUUACCAAUCAAUACUUGCAUACAGUACUUUGUAAUCGCAAUGCUAUAUAUCUUAUUGACUACAUUAAUGAUACAUUGAUACAACUUGUAUCACACCAAUGCAACAGUCAUCAAGACUCACUAAUAUAUGAAAAUGAGUCCUUUACUUAUCAAUAUUCAAUAUCAUUAUGCGCAACUAUUUUAUCAUAUAUAGAUAUGAAACAAUUGUGAAACAAAAUGAAACUUAAGAUGCAUCAAAUACUGAAAUGGAAACACUAGUCAUACUGUACCAACAUUGGGCUUACAUUAUUUCCAGUUUUUAGAGUUGAGGCUAGUUUCAUCUAUUUGGGACUGCACUGUUAUCAUUGUGAAACAUUAUUGAAAUCCAAAAGCCUAAUCAAAAUCCUAUUGCAAAUGAUGAAUGGUACAAAAACUCUGAACUGAAAACAACAUUGUCCUAACAAUAAUAGAAUUUGCACUGAAUAUGAAGGUCAAAACUAUGUAAAAACUAAACUUCUACAGAAUGUGUCACAUUGAACACACAAAAUGAAUCUGUGAAUCUCUUUUCAACUAUCUAUCAGAACAUUCCAAGAAACAAAACAAAUAAAGGUUUGCGCCAAGGGGUUGCAGGAAAAAAACCAAAAAAUAAAAAUAAAUAUAUAUAUAUAUAUAAUAUAUAUAUAUAUAUAUAUGGGGAUUUAGAGAUACCCCCCAAAAUAAUAGGAACUCUUUGAGAUACCCCCCAGAUUUAGAAACUCUUAGAGAUACCCCCCAUUUUUCCAUUUGAAGCCGGUCAACCAAGCCGUUGACCAUGGUCUGACCAGUCUUCAUAAUUUGUAGACAAUUUUACCCUCCCACCAUUUAAACCCACAUCCUAGUCAUUUUGCCCAGUCAUCAAUAAUGCCAUGUCAGCAAACCCACUUACAACUACCACUUCUUAUCCUAACCGUUCAAAAUAGAUCUAGAUCUAUAUCUAAUCCUAUCUACCGUUACAUCAUCAAACUCCACAUUUUUCUUCCUCCUCCUUCUUCUUCCUCCUCUUUUCUUCUUCACCAUCAUCAAACUCCAUCUCUCACUUUUUCUUCUUCACCAUCAUUUCUUUUCUUUCUUCCUUCUUCUCCAUCCUAUCUACCUAUCUAUCUUGCUUCUUCUUCAUCAAACCAUUCUUCUUUCACCUUCAUUUUUCUUCCUUCUUCAUUAACAGAUCUAGCCAUUAUCAUCUCUCAUUUAUUACUCCAUUACUAGAUCUGGUGAAAGAAUGACACUCCAUUACUCGAUCUAGAAGAACCAAUAAAUACUUCAAUUUUUAGUAGUUUUACUAGAUCUACCUAGUUGAAACGUUGAUAUGAAGGUAAAUUAUAGUAUUUAGUGGUUUUGUACUGUGUAUUUUAGUAUUUUUUGAGAUUUGGUUCAUCAUCUUUCAUCAUCUUCCCCAAAUUACCUUUCUCUGCAAUUUGGGGGGUAUUUCAAAUGAAACUUGUAUUUUGGGGGGUAUCUCUAAUGAAAGUUUUGUUUGUUUUGAACAGAUAAUUUGUCAAAUGUGUGACCAACUUGGACAUUGUGGAGAUGAAUCAGUCUGAACUUAAAGUGAAGCAAUCGGAGACAUUGAAUGCGUUUCAUAUUAUUUCUUUAUCUGAAGGGUUUGAUUUGUCGCCUUUGUUUGAAGAAAAGAAAAGGGAAGAGAAGGAGGAAUUAAGAUUUGCGACAACAAAGCCAGCAAGUAGUGUGAUAUCAAAAUUGGAAGAUUUGGCAAAAUCAGUGAAAUUCAGUGUUAGGAAGAGUGAAUCAAGAGUUAGAUUGGAAGGAAGUGAGAGGGGAAGGAAAGGGAAAUUGUCAAUUGAAGCAGAGAUAUUUGCGAUGACACCUUCGUUCUUAGUGGUGGAAGUGAAGAAAGAUGGUGGAAAUACUUUGGAAUAUAAUCAGUUCUGUAGUAAAGAACUUAGACCAGCAUUGAAAGAUAUCUGUUGGACAUCACCAGCUGAAAAUCCUACACCUGCUUGAUGAAACUUAGAAGUAGAGGGAUUUUAAGAAUUUAACAAAAUUCAAUGUAGUUGUAAUUGUUUUUGUGGUUUCAGUUAUGUUGAUUUCUUUGUUAUUUUCUCUUAUUAUUCCGUCAUUUGGGUGUUUUUAUGUUUUGUGAUUAUGGAUUUAUGGUGGUGGUUUUCUCCUUUAUGUGAUGAAUUGUGCAUAUUGCUUCUUUGUUGUGUGAGCAUUUUAUGGUUAAUGGUUCUGAUCUUUCUGUAUAUUGAAUGUGCUGGUUUUUUUUCUUUCACUUCAGAAUAGACAUUCUCUGAUGUAAUUGGCAGUAAGAUUGAUGCUAAUGGUAGAUAUUCAAAAUGUGUGAUGAAGAAGAAGCAAGAUAGAUAGGUAGAUAGGAUGGAGAAGAAGGAAGAAAGAAAAGAAAUGAUGGUGAAGAAGAAAAAGUGAGAGAUGGAGUUUGAUGAUGGUGAAGAAGAAAAGAGGAGAAAGAAGAAUGUGGAGUUUGAUGAUGUAACGGUAGAUAGGAUUAGAUAUAGAUCUAGAUCUAUUUUGAACGGUUAGGAUAAGAAGUGGUAGUUGUAAGUGGGUUUGCUGACAUGGCAUUAUUGAUGACUGGGCAAAAUGACUAGGAUGUGGGUUUAAAUGGUGGGAGGGUAAAAUUGUCUAAAAAUUAUGAAGACUGGUCAGACCAUGGUCAACGGCUUGGUUGACCGGCUUCAAAUGGAAAAAUGGGGGGUAUCUCUAAGAGUUUCUAAAUCUGGGGGGUAUCUCAAAGAGUUCCUAUUAUUUUGGGGGGUAUCUCUAAAUCCCCCAUAUAUAUAUAUUCAUAAGAUUCCAUAAUAACCACACCUAUGAUCAGAAAAACAGGAUAUUCUUGUGGUGCAGAUUGUUCUCAAAAUACAUAUUAGUAAAGAUGUGUGUUGCACUGCUGAAGAUGACAUGUAACCGAUGGCAGGUGUAAACACAUAGCAUGUCACUGGGAAAGUAAAAAGGAAGCAGCAAAAUGAAUCGUGCUCGAAGCCUAUAAAAUAUCAAAACCUCGAGGUGGAUAUUCAGUUGGACAUAUAGUAUAUCGAAAUACCAGAACCAAAUGAUCGCACAUGUAUUUAGACCCAAUAUGCUUGUUUUAACUAAAAUAUUUUCACACCAGAACCAUUACAAUCCUUGCGUGAAGAAUGGUUACACAAUCUCAACCAAAUUGUGUCUGUUUGCAUCUGUUUGUGAACAGCUACCCAAACUUCUCAUAUGCUUUAGACUUUCUAUAAUACUAAUCCAUUUAUACAAAAAAACCUAAUCCAUUUAUACAAAAACCCUAAUCCCCAAUCCAUUUAUACAAAAACCCUAAUCCAUUUAUACAAAAACUGCAAAAUUGAAACAAAAUCCCCAAUGUGGUGAUUCCUACAGCAACAGUUAAAUAAUAAAUCACCCCCCUCCCCCCCAAAAAAAAAACAUGGAGAAUUAUCUUCUACACAUUGCAGCAGUAAAAUGUAAAACCUAAUCCCCAAUUUAUUACCCUUGAAAAAUAAAAAGCAAAAUAUAAACCCUAACCCUAAUUUCAUAACUAAAAAUUGAAAAAGAAUCCCCAAUUAUACAAAAACCCCCAAUUUUGACAAAAUAAACCCCUAAUUAUACAAAAAAACCCAAUUUUGAUAAACCCUAGUCCAUUUAUACAAAAAACCCCAAUUUUGAAAAACCCCCAAUUUUGAUAAACCCUAGUCCAUUUAUACAAAAAAACCCCAAAUUGAAACAGAAUCCCCAAUUUUCAUAACCAACCCUAACUCUAAUUUCAUAAUUCCACGAAAUUGAAGUAGUAGUCAUGCUUAUUCAAGCAUAAUUUGAUCAACACAACCCUAAAUUUACAUAAUUUAUACAAACCCCCAAAUUUUCGAAAAUCCUAAUUACAAAAUUUGAAAAAAUCGAACAACCCUUCUCAAUAAAUCAAAAAUUGCAGCAGGAAUGAAUGUUUUUGUUGUAUACAUCAAAACAGAAAUCACCAUCGCCAUCGCGAAAAACUUAGAAAUGGAUGAAGAGAGAAGAAGUGGAAGUAGAGAAAUGGAAGUGGAGAAGAGAUUACCUGUCGAAAUCAAAGUGAAAUCAAGUUUUACUAGAUAGUAAUCGCCGUCGCCAUCGUUUUCUCGCUUUUGAACAGAUGUUGCGAAAUUUGUAAAGGAAAAAAAAAAUCGCUUUUAUACCUAUGCAAAUCAAUCCGGGUAAAUACCAUCGGGGAAUUUUACCCAACCCCAACCCCCCCCCCCCCCCCAAACCGAUUCACCCGGAUGAAUCCGGGUAAAUGGGGUCACGUGCUUGUUUUCGGUAAAAAGUAUCCGGAGCAAAUUUUGGUUAUCAAAUACAUGUGAUUGGCUGGUCAAACCGUGCAAAACCCAUUCACCCAGGUGAAUAGCCUUAUUCACCGGUUAUCAAACAGACCCUUAGUUCAAUUAAUCUUCGUUGCAGGUGGUAGGUCACAUUAACUUUUGUUGCAGGAUUUGACUUACCAAAGUUACACUCGCAAGUGGUAAGUUGGUAAGUUGCUUUAAAUUAUAUUAAUUGUAAUGCAUGCGUAGUUAGUUGUUUUAACUGUGGACCGUUGAUAGUUUUGGUGAGCUCUCCUUUCAUGAGAGACACUCACACCAGCAUAUUCGAAAUGCUGACCCUCGUUGUUUCUUUUGCGACUUGGGGUACGUCUCGGUCGGGCAUAGAGGAGGAGCACUGGAUUAGAGAUAAUGAGACUGGAGCUGGAGUUGAACUUUGGAAAUAAGGUAAUUAAUAUUUCUGAAGUUAUCUAUGAUCCUCUGUAGUCUAUUAUUUUGAAUGUUUUUUUGCCUAACUGGGUCCCAUGUGGGGCCGACCCGCUCAUACUCUGGCUUUUGAUUUAUGAAUAUUUGCUAUUUAUUUGGUGGAUAUUCAUUUAUCAAAAAUCGGGGCGUGACAACCGUAUUCAGUCGCCAGACUGUUUGAUUUUGGUUAACUAGUUCAGUGCUUAACUGAACAAUGCAUUGGUUUUUCAAUUAAGUGGUUCAGCCAAAACAAAAAUUGGCAGAAUGAACCUCUGAAUGACUAAACGAAGCCAAAAAGACCAACUUACCUCCAAACCCUUUCAUUUCUCUCGCUAUUCAUCUUCACCUUCUUCUAAUCUACUUCUGUUGUUGAAAACCUAACGCUGUGAUUUUAAGCUUUUAACCCAACGCUGUUAUGAAGUGAUUGGCUAUCUUGAUUGAUGGGACUUCGCAAGGAGGCCACGAAAGAAUAUAAGCAAGGCCGCCAUUGCUAAUGUUGUGAAUGGACAUCCAGACAAUGCUUCGGCUAAUGUAGCGCAAUCAAGUAUGAAUGGUAAGGUUAUUUCGAAUAGUACAUGGAUAAUCGAUUCAGGUGCAUCUGACCAUAUGACAAAUGACCCUAACCUUGUGGAAAGUCUUAGAGCUUCACCUCAAAACGUCGUUUCUACUGUUAAUGGUACUCCAACUCCGGUUAGCGGAGAAGGUUCUAUUGUGUUAUCUGAUACCCUAACUCUUGAAUCUGCCUUAGUUGUUCCAUCUCUAGCUUAUAACCUAUUGCUUGUUUGUCAAAUUAUUCUAGCACUUGCAUGUAUUGUGACGUUCUAUCCAUAUUUCUGUAUUUUUCAAGACAUUCUGACUCGACAGGUCCUCGGUUAUGGUGUUAGAAGGGGGAAAAUGGAAAACGUACUAUUUGGAUUUGACAGAAACUGAAGAGAAACAGAUGAAUUUUCUGGGGCAAGCUAAUCAGAUCAAUAGGGUCGAGAAUGCAAAAGAAGUUGUGUGGCAUCGGCGUUUAGGUCAUCUAUCCUUUAGUUAUCUUAAGAAGUUACAACCUUGUUUAUUUUCAGUUGUUAGUGAUUCUGAAUUUCAUUCAGACAUUUAUGAACUGGCCAAGAGCCACCGUAUUUCAUAUUCACCAAGUAUUAAUAGAUGUUUUGUUCCUUUUAUGAAAAUUCACUCUGAUGUUUGGGGUCCUGCAAAAGUUUCUUCAUUUUCUGGAGCUCGAUAUUAUGUGACUUUUAUUGAUGAUUGCACCACAUGACUUGGGUGUCAUUACUGAAAAAUAAAAGUGAUGUAUAUGGGAUGUUUACUAAUUUUUACAAAAUGGUGGCGACGCAGUAUCAACAAUCUAUCAGGAAUUUCAGUCUGAUAAUGGUAGAGAAUUUGUGAAUGGCCUCAUGUCUGAAUUUUGCCGGUCAAUUGGAAUUCGUCAUCAAACCUCCAAUUCUGGUACCCCCCCAACAAAAUGGUUUAGCAGAACGGAAGAACAGGCAAUUGUUGGAAGUUGUUCAUGCUUUCUUGUUUGGCAUGAAUGUAUCUCGAUCCUAUUAGGGUGAAGUAGUGAAAUCAGCAGAUAUGUUAUCAAUUGUACUCCCUCACGGGUAAUUGAGUUCCAAAAUUCUUAUCAGAAACUCCAUACACUUUUGUCUACCCCAUCUAUGCCUAACUUGGAGCCUCGGGUGUUUGGAUGUGCAGCUUAUGUCCAUAUUCCAAAAUCAGAACGAAGUAAACUUGAUCCUCGUGCGAAGAAGUGUAUGUUUGUGGGUUAUGCAGAGUUUCAGAAAGGGUAUAGGUGUUAUGAUCCACUUACUGACAAAAUGCAUAUAUUUCUUGAUGUCUCAUUCCAUGAAUCAGAUCCGUAUUACUCAGGGGGAAUUUCCCAGUCUUCCCUUCAGGGGGAGAGUGGCGGUGAAAGGAAUCCUUGGUCUAUUGACAACUUUGAUGUCUUUGAAGAAUUGGAACACUUGGAGGAACGAUUUGAAGUUCAUGCAGUAGAAAUUGAUUUUGUAGCAGUAGAGAAUAAUCAUGAGCAGACAAUCAACCAUUUGGUUCCCAGCGAUCAGACAGAAGUACAUGAUUAGGAUGUAUCUGAAACUGUAGUACACGAUAUUUCCCCUUCUACAUCAACAACUGAAGAUCUCGGUUAGAAUGAUCUGCCUCACGUACCUCCUAUAACCUUUAAUAAGUCUGUUGGGUUAAAAAGUCUCGAACUUAGAAAAUCACAAAGAGCUAGUAAGGGAGUUCCUAAAAAACAAUAUGAACUAGACAUUAAAGUCAAUGUUAAAUAUCCUAUAACUAACUUUAUGUCUAACCAUAGGCUUUCUGAACCACAUGCACUUGUUAUAAAUCAAUUAUCUACUAUAUCUAUUCCUAGUAACGUGCAGGAUGAUUUGAAAGAUCCAAAAUGGAAGAAAGCAAUGAAUGAAGAAUUUGAAGCGCUUUAAAAGAAUGUAGCAUGGGAGGUAGUUGAUAUGCAUGUUAGAAUGAAGACUGUUGGAUGUCGUUGGGUGUUUACCGUGAAGCUUAAUGCAGAUGGAACUAUUGAUAGAUAUAAGGCAAGAUUUGUUGCCAAGGGAUACACACAACGUUAUGGAAUUGAUUAUGAGAAGACUUUCGCACUUGUGGCGAAGAUCAAUACUGUUCGAAUUUUAAUUUUGCUUGUAGCAAAUAAAGAUUGGCCCUUGCACCAGCUUGAUGUGAAGAAUGCAUUACUGAAUGGGAAUUUGGAGGAAGAAGUAUACAUGGAUAUGUCUCCAAGUGUGAAGAACCAUCCCGUAGAUGUUGGAAAGGUGUAUAAACUGAAGAAGUCUUUGUAUGGCCUGAAAUAGUCUCUAAGAACUUGGUUUUGAAGAUUUACAAAGUCCAUGAGAGCUUUUGGGUACAAACAGAGCAAUUCUGACCAUACCUUGUUUAUCAAACACAAGGAUGGUAAGAUUACAUCUCUAAUUGUGUAUGUGAUGACAUGAUCGUUACAGGGGAUGAUCCGAAGGAAAUAAAUGAAUUGCAGAAGUAUUUGUCGAAGGAAUUUGAAAUGAAGGAUCUAGGACAACUGAAGUAUUUUUUGGGUAUUGAAGUUGCAAGGUCUAAAAAGGGGAUUUCACUUUCACAGAGGAAGUAUGUCCUUGAUUUGCUUGUUGAAACAUGGAUGUUGGAUUACAAACUGAUGGAGACACCUAUUGAGAUGAAUCAUGGACUACUCGUCAUUCAUCCUGACCAAGUUCUUACUGAUAAAAGAAGGUAUCAGCGUCUUCUAGGAAGGUUAAUUUAUCUCUCUCAUACUAGACUUGAUAUUGCUUAUGCUGUGAGUGUGGUUAGUCAGUUUAUGCAUUCUCCUAGUGAAGAACAUAUAGAUGCAACCUUUCAUAUCUUGAAGUAUUUGAAGAAGGCACCUGACAAAGGUUUACUGUUUGAAAAGAAUGAUGUAUUGGACGUUGUUGGAUACACAAAUGAUGAAGUGAAUGUUGUUGGACACAAAGAUGCAGAUUGGACUGGUGAUAAAACUAAUAGACGUUCUACAUCAGGAUACUUUACUUUUGUCGUUGAAAAUCUUGUAACUUGGCGUAGUAAGAAGCAGAAAGUUGUUGCCAGAUCGAGUGCAGAGGCUGAAUUUUGAGGUAUGGCUCAUGGAGUAUGUGAAUUGUUGUGUAUCCGUAAUGUCUUGAAGAAAUUGGGCUUCAAUCUUCAAAAGCCUAUGGAUUUACAUUGUGAUAAUCAAGCCGCCAUUCAAAUUGCACAUAAUCCAGAUCAGUAUGAUCGAACAAAGCAUGUGGAGGUUGAUCGUCGUUUUAUUAAAGAAAAUCUUGUCAGGAUCAGAAGGUUAUUCGCUUUCCUUUCGUAACCUCAGAGGAGCAAUUAGCUGAUGUUCUUACCAUAGUACAAAAUAUCGCGAUAUCUAUCGGUUUGAGAAAAAACGAUACGAUACUUUACCUAUUUUAUUGCCUUAAAUUAUCUGUUAUAUAUCAAAUUUAUCGGCUCGAGUCAAUAUUUAGUGAUAAUUUUUGAUAUUUUCUGGAAAAAAAUUCAAUUGGGUGUCUUUUGUUCAUCUCUUUCAUCGUCUUCCUCUCUCCCACAAUCUAUCAUAUACACAGAUUUGAUUUGAUUUGAAAAAAAAAAAAAAGCCAAGAACACAAGAAGAGGACAAUUAAGAAAAGUUAUAAGAUCUAUGCUGGUUCUUCUUCCACAUACAUUAGAUUUAAGUAUUUAACCAUAAGAAUUUUGAUUAGAUAUCUUGGUUAGAGAAAGCUUGAAGAAAGAUUUUUUUGAGAACAACUGUCUAAAAUCUUGGUUUGUGAAACUUCAAUGUUCUUAACUUUGGCCAGAUCUGUAGCUCUGAAUAAGAUGUUAAAAUAUCUUUCAUCCUUGAAUUCAAGAUCUGUUUCUACAAAUAUAUCUUUUCCUAAAAGAGAAGAAAACUAUUCCUAAUUUAUUUGCGUAAUUAAAUGCGAUGACUUGCAAGUGAUGCAUUUUUUUGGGCAAGAUGGAUUUACUAUAUAUAUCUUAAAGGAAAAAAAAAAUCGAUAGAUAUAUUCCGAUGUAUCCGGAUAUAUCAGAUCAAAGGAGAUACGAUAUAUUCUUAAAUAUCGACUUUUUGUACUAUGGUUCUUACCAAAGGUGUAUCUAAAAAAUGCUUCGACAACUCAGUUGACAAGUUGGGCAUGAUUGACAUCUAUGCACCAACUUGAGGGGAGUGUAGAAAGCUGUAUAUAUAUUCUAAAUAGGAAACAAUAUAUUUAUGAUAUAUUUAGAAUAUUAUGUAUUUAGAAUAGUGUGUCUUGGUAGACAAGAAACUAACUUGUAUAUAAACCUAUGUUUUGGGAUGAAUCAAAAUGACAAACUGAAUUGAAUUGAAUUGAAGUCUUUUAUUUAACAAAAUGGAUCAAUAGGUGCUUUCCGCAAAACAUGGACCCUAGCUCACAUCGGCAACGAUUAACUAAAAAACUCAAUAAAUAAUCCUACGUACUUGAAGAAGCAAAAUUGUCUCAAGAAUAUAGUACGUAAGAAUGGUGUAACUUACCCUUCGCUAAGAUGCUUCUUGCCUGACAUAAGACCGGAGUCGAACACCAAGCCUUAACUGAAAUUUAAUAUCGCAAAAAUAACACCAAGCAAAAUUUAAGAUGCACAGCAAUAUAUCUAAUCACUUAUCAUAUAAAAAAGAUGCAUGAAUGCUUGUUUCUUGACCAAGCAAAUCAUUUCAAAAAAAAACAUAAAAAUUGCUUUACCAUUAGGGGUGUUAUGUGAGCUGAGCAGCUCGAGUUCGGCUCGUGUUCGGCUCGAAAAAAGCUCGGCUCGGGCUCGCUCAUCUUGUAAAACGAGCCGAGCUUAAGCAGAUUUUAGGCUCGGCUCGAGCCCGAGCCGAGCUCGAGCUUUAUUCGAGCCGAGCCGAGUAGCUCGAAUUUAGAUAUGGUUAAAUUAUGUUACCCAUCCUACCCCCAUUAAUAUGUGUUAUUCCUAUCCUACCCUCGCUAUAUAUUAAUAUAUCAACAUACCAAUAUGUGAAACCUAGCCGUCUCCCUUCUCCUUCUUUCUCUUGUUCAAAUAGUGAAAAAUCUUCUUCUAUUAAUAUUAAAGCUGUUUCUAUGAAAAGAAUGCGUGAGCAUGAAGAAGAUCUUGAUAAUCAGGUUUGUUAAUACCCUUAUUAAUUUGAUGAAAUAUGAUUCAUUUGUUUUUUUUAUAAAGUUCUUUAUCUAACGGUUGAGAUUUUUUGUAGGAUUAUAAAUGUUGUUCUUCGUCUUCUUCGGGGAAUAAAGAAGAAGAGGUGACUUCUUUAGACUGUUUGAGGCCUUUGAAACAACGAAAAAUAGAUGAAGAAGAGUUGAUUCUAUCUGGAGUAAACGAGUCGGAAUCAGAUCUACUUGUUCAAUCGCUCAAAAAAUUUCAUCAGAAAAUGUUAUUGGUGCAAUAAUUAGCACAAAUCUAAUUAACCUGAUAAUUAAAAUGUAAUCUAUCCACUAUCAGUUUAUCAGUGUAGAAUCUGAUUUUUUUUUUGUAAGAAUCAGAUCUACUUUCUUUGCUGCUGCUGCUGCUUCUUCUUCUUCACAAUCAUCUAUUUUUGUAAUGAAUUAAAUUACGAUAAUCUGAUUAGUGUAAUUAAUUUAUUUAGUUAUGGGUAAGGAAGUUGUAUCAUUAGUUUUAGAUAUCGAGAUCUGUUUUAUACCAGGAAAAAGCUGCAAACGAGAGCUCGAGCUGAACGAGCUUUGAGUGUUCGAGCUUGAUUCGAGCUAAACGAGCUUGGAGGGCUCGAGCUCGGCUCGAGCUAAACGAGCUUAACGAGCUCGAGCUCGAGCUUGAUAAAUAGCUCGCGAGCCGAGCUUGAACAUAAAACCAGGCUCGAUUCAGAAAUUGGGCUCGGCUCGGGCUCGGCUCGUAUUAAAACGAGCCGAGUAUGAGCAUUCAAAGCUCGGCUCGCUCGGCUCGAAUAACACCCCUAUUUACCAUCUUCAAUUUAUUGCCUCCAUAAAUGUGACACUAAAUUAUUUUAGUAAAUUAGCAUAUCUAUUUAAUCUCCUCCUCCAGACUUGCUCGGGAGGGUUCGAAAUCCAACUAGAAGCAUACUGAAAAAAUAUAUCAGGGCAAAUGAAAUUGAAACAAAAAAACAAUGCGUCUCAGCUUCCGGCAGUUUUUUGUCUAGAGUUAAAAACAAAUGAACUUCUUGAUCACUUUCAUCUACGGUUAAAAGCUUGCGUAUCCUCUCAGCUUCCAGCAGUUUUUUAUUCUAGAUACAUCAAAUACCUUACUUUCUAGUCAUCACUUUUUGUUAGCAAACCACCCUAUCAGUGAAGUACAUUUUGAACAGACAAACCCACCUUUUCUGCAGUCAGACCUGACCUCCAGUCACAACAACUCCCUCUGCAUCUUUCUAUACCCUUCAUCUCUUUCUUUCGAUGAAUUUACCUAACCAUAGACCUCCAGUCACAACAACUCCCUCUGCAUCUUUCUAUACCCUUCAUCUCUUUCUUUCGAUGAAUUUACCUAACCAUCAGAUGAAGAUAUUAUUUCACUCUUUUGUUCAUUUUGGACAAGAAUACCCACUACUCUUAUAUCUCAUCUACAAAAAAGCCUUUAUUCUAGGGCUGGGCAAACAAACACUUAAGCAGAACUGAACCGAAUCGAAUACUUUUACGAGUGUUUGCAUGUUUAUAUGUUGAAAUUUUUACAAAAUACUUUUGAAGGUGUUCGGUUUCGGUUUGCUACUACUUAAAACACCUAAAAUAAAAGACCUAUAUUUAUAGUUCAACACAGUAGCCCAUUAUCUAGUCCAGCCUGGUUAAACGUAGCCCAUAAUUACACUUAGGGUUCGACAAAAAAUCUCACUUCCUUUGAUUUUCUUAUUCAAUUAAUGGAUGUUUCUUCAGUUCUUCUUCAAUUAAUGGUUGUUGCUUGUACUAAUCAACUCUAAUCAACAUCAUCUUCUUCGGUUUUCAAUCAUCAUUGCUUGAUAAAUUGAUGAAUAGUUGCUAAUAUUAAUAUUGUGAUCAAAAUUUUAUGUUUUUCUUAUAGAUUUUCACUUUUUCAGUACUGUCAUACUUGAUCAAUUUUUCUUUUUUGGUUCCCGAACUUUGAAAAAAUAAAGGUGUUUGGUUCGAUUUUUCGGUUAACCAAACAUAUAGAAGGUAUUCGGUUCAGUUUCGAUUUUUGUUUAAUACAAGCAGUUUGGUUUGGUUCGGUUCUGUAAACUAAAUUGGUCGGCUUAUGUUCAACAAAUUACAAAACACCUACUAUGUUGUUCGGUUUUGACUUUAUUCAAAACCAAACCAAACCGAACCGUGCCCACCUCUACUUUAAUCCCCAUUCAACUUAUCCACAUUAGUUCUUAAAAAUAACUGCAAACCUCAACCUCCCUCGAAGAAUCAUGCAAAUUCCUCUGAAUCAACUUCAAGCUAAUAUGGCUCACUGGAAUGAUGCUAUGAUCAUCGCUCUAUGGCAUAGGAACCACCAUAAUCCCAACUAUGUCAUGAAACAAAUAAGCCUGAAAUAGAAAAUCACUGACCACAUGGAUUUGGUAAGGGUUGGGCACAAUCUUUUUGUCUGCAAAAUCAAUCUCGAAGAAGACCCUGAUAAGGAAGCUGGUAUGCCAUGUAUAGGUUGCAUUGUGUUGAUCGAAACUUUUUCAUCACCGACGGACCCUUAGUCGGUGGUUUUUACUAGGUUUUCCCUCUGGUUGUAUUUCAAAGGCCUCUUGCUUGAACACUUUUCGACAACUGUUAUCUGGUUUUUAGCUUCUGAUGCUAGGGAAGUGAUCACUGUUCUACCAGAAAGAAUCAUCGAGCACGUUUAACUUCAGAGUUCUUUCGAAUUUCGGAGCCAAGUGAGCCCAAAAAACCUCAGUGAUAAUAUUUGACGGAUGUAUACCUAUAUUUCAAUAUCAGGACAUCCCCUUCUUAGUUAUUGUAGGACCCACCCCUCAGCAAACCACCUGCUGACCCGGGGUGUUACAAAAUCCUUUUACUAUUGGGAAUGCUCUAGGGUCAGAAAAUUUUGAGCCGUCACUCAUCUGUAGUGGCAAUCGUGUCGGGUCUUAACAGGUCGAUGCGUUUUUCACCUUAACCCAAACCCAACCUGUUAACCGGUUUAAGUUUAUUUGCUAAACCCAAACCGGACCUACUAAUUAAACAGGUCGGGUUCAGGUCGACCUGUUUAAACUUGGUUCUUAAACAGGUCCGGUCCAAAUUUGUCAAAACCAUUAAACCUGCAACAUGUUCAAUCUAGUAUAUGAUUUUUCAGCAACCUUCUUUUCAUUAAAAAAAAAAAAAAAUUGAUUUGAAAUGGAUAAAGUGAAAAGCUAAUGAAAUAAGGGAGAGAAACAGAAGAACAAUGAAUAAUUGAAUCCAAAUUCGUAUUGUAUAAAUUGGAUCUGGUUCAUCGUUUCUCUAAGAAUCGAUUUCCACUAGUUCCUUCUACUGUUGCUUUGAUUCCAAAAUAUAAUUACAAGAUUAACCCAUAGAAGAAGAAGGGGGAGAGAAAAAAUGUAUUUGAUGAAACACCUAACGACAAAUAGUGAGAAUUAAAGGUUUAUUGGUGAGGUUUUACUAAGUUUGAUUUUUCUUUUUCUUCAAUAUUGCAAAAGAAAAAAUGUUGAGAUGAAUGAGUCUGUUCAUCUAGUAAUGGCAGUUUCAUCGUCAAAGAGAAUACGAAUGAAUGAGAUGUUUUGUAUUUAAGUAUACUUUAAGUACACUUCACUUUGAAUGUGGUCCAUUCAUAACUUGGAACAUACAUAUGUGUUCGUACAAAAUACAUGGUGACAGUAAAGAUUAAUUUUUUUUUGUUACAUUUUCUUGUUCCAGGCAAGUACAUCUGCAGCAGGAUCUAACUCUCGUUUAAUUCAUGAAUUUGUUGAAAUGGGGUUCUCAGUGAAGAUGGUGACCCGAGCAAUUGAGGAGACUGGUACAUCAGUACAUGCACUUUUACUUUAUUUAAUAGUUAUUGGACUGUGCAUCUUAUAGCUUUGCUCAUACAACUCCUUUUUUGUAUGAUUGUGUUAUUUUGUAGGAGAUCAAAACACCGAACAGAUACUUGAAGUUCUGUUGAGAUACUCGGUGAGUUUAUAAACUAUCGAUUAUAAUAUUUAAGAUUCCAUGUUAGUACUUUGUUUUGUUUCUCUGGUGGUAAUUUUUUUCUUUUCAGCUCUUCUUGUACCUCUCCUUAAUAACGCACUAAAUCAUUAAGUUUUAUUUAGUUUUGUCUUAAAUAUGUUUAUUUUUUAUGGUUUUGACUGCAAUACCUUAUCAAAUUUAGGAUUUUUUUUGGACCUUGUUGCCAGAGACUCUUUAAAACGAGUGUUUUUGUCAAGGUAGUGUGAUUGUCACAAAUACAAUGUAUAGUCAUAUUGCUUGGGUAGCUUAAUUUUGAAAUUGAGAUCCUAUAUUCAAACGACGGUAGAGGCGUUAGCACACAAUCUUUGGUUAAUUCAUAGUACAUACUUGAGUACCACCCUUUGCAUUUUUAUUUAGGAUAUUACCUGGUUUCAACUUAUUUUCUUGUAUAUUUUCUGUCGUUAUGUGAAUAUGACUUUUUUUUACAUUGUAAUGGGACAAUUGCAGGCCACCAUUGAUAACUUUCCCUCAAAAUGUGGACCUGUUUCUUAUGAUCUACAAUCCUCAGAAAGUGAAAAUGAUUUUUUGGAUGAUCUGUCUGAUCCUGAAGCCUGUCUUGAUAAUGAGGUAGUUCAUCAUUGAAUACUGCUAAUCAUUGUCAGAUUUAGGGCUUUCCCCAUUACAAGUAUAUCGUAUAUAUUCCACAGCAAAAUACUGCUUAAUAUACAAAAUAUAUGGAGACAUGUAUGCUUUGUGAUCCUACUUAUUUUUUAUUACUUGUGUUCUUUAGAGAGUUUGUUUCAAUUUGAAAUUUUUAUUGCACACAUUCACCGUGUUUGUUCCUACAUGUAUAUCAGUAGGUAUACUUAUAUAAUUUUAGGUUAAAUAAAACUUAUUAAUCGAGACCUCAAGGGAAUGUAAUUUUGAACAUAACUGGAAAUGGUUACAGGGUGUGCUUAGACAGUAGAGUAUAGACAACCUUAGAAACUCUGGAAUUUAUCAUACAGAGCAUCUCAUAUAUCGCCUUCGGCAUAUAAGCUAAAAGAUGAUAGUUAUGCAUGAAAGUGGUAGUUGAUAUUUUACAUAGUCGGCCCUGUAACCCAUGGAAAUUUUCUUAUUAUAUCACUUGGUGUGCUGCUACCUAUCGUAUACAACAUCUUUUCUUAUCUGUUCUCGUAUAAUUAAGUAGUAUCUGUUCUCGGAUAAUUACUGAACUUUAUUGUUUGCUUAUAUAUAAAAAAAGAAAGUUUGAGAAAUACACCCCCAUAGGUUCUUGAUCUCCGUUUUAACUUGAUUUAAAGAGGAAUAAUGCAAAUACGAGAGAGUUCAUCGACUGUGUUCAAAUUAUCAGAAUUUUGUGCAGGAGGAUGCCGUACUGCGAGAAAAGGAGACAAAGUUGUUACACUUAAUUGAUAUGAAUUUCCUGGAAGACGAGGCUUCAUCAGCCAUUAAUGCAUGUGGUGUGUAUCCAACACUUAUUGUGUUGAUGAAUAUGCAUUUUUAACUUGCAUGAACACAAUCUUGGGUGAUGUUGGUAUUCUCCAGUCAAUGUGACAAACUUACUGUCAGUUAUCCAUGUUUUUAUAGUUGUUUCCUUCACAAUUCUCAUACUAUCUAUAUUUUUCAUCUUUUGCAGGUCCUGACACAUCAAUUGCAGACCUUAUAGAUUUUAUAUAUGCUUCUCAAAUAGGAAAAACAGAUGAUUUCCCUCUAUGUAAACCGCUUCAUCAGAUUCCCAAUGAUGAUGAGGUGUGCUUGUUAGACAUGCUUGUGUUUAAUAUGGAUGCUGUGUAUAUUCUUUCGAAAAUAAUGUUUGAUUCACUGCUUUCCUUUCAUAAUUUAGUACUUGCUAUAACCAUAAAUUUAUUUCUCCUAUGAGUAGUCAGCGUUGUCUUUCUUCUAUAGUUGUAUUUUUACCAUUGCAUUGAAAAGUUUGGUGGUUCAGAGAUGCUUAUUUUUAAUUAUUCCAAUGCAAUCUAUGAUUGGUAGGGUUUAACCUAUUUUGGAGCAGAUAGAGAUAAUACAGUGUAUGUAGACAAUGUACCAAGUAGAUAUAAUCUAAAUUUUUCUUCGUACUGUUCUGUUGUAGAUGCGUCCUGAUCAGAGAUGUGGAUUUCCUCCAACAGACCAGAAGAGGAAAAAGCUUUUUGCGGAAAAAUUCAAACGAAAAUUAGAAAUGGGAAGAAGUGACAGCAAGGAAUCCAAGAAGAAUCUCAAGGAAAGUAUAGAGGAACAUGAUAGAAUUCGUAUUCCAAGGCACAUGAUUGGCUUUGGGAUCCCAAAUGAGCCAAGGCCAACGUUCCAGCGAAAGCUCCCUGAGGAAGCAAUUGGUCCACCUUACUUUUAUUUUGAAAAUGUGGCUUAUACUCCAACUGGGGUUUGGGAUACAAUAUCUCGCUUCUUAUAUGAGAUUGAACCUGAAUUUGUAGACUCACUGCAUUUUUGUGCCGCUGCAAGGAAGAGAGGGUAUGUUCACAACCUCCCAGUCCAGAACAGAUACCUACUCCAACCAAUUCCCCCACUCACCAUUUAUGAAGCGUUACCAAUGACUAGAAAAUGGUGGCCAACAUGGGACCAAAGAGAGAAGUUCAACUGCAUGCGUACUUGCAUUGGUAGUGCAAAGCUUACACAAAGAAUUAAAGAAGCUCUUGAAUGCUGGGGCGGUAAUCCUCCUAUAAAGACUCAGAAAAGAGUUAUGUAUGAGUGUAAGAAAUGGAAUUUAUUGUGGAGUGGGAAAAAUAUUGCAGCACCUCUUGAACCUGACGAGUACGAGUUUAUAAUGGGAUACCCAAAGGAUCAUACUAGGGGAUUCAGUACAACAGAGAGAUAUAAAGCUGUCGGUAAUGCAUUUCAGGUUUGUGCUUCCCUCUUCCUAUGUUAUGUUUUGUACUAAUAUUAAUCAUCUACUUAGCUACAAACAAACUUGGUGCAGGUUGAUACUGUGGCUUAUCAUUUCUCUGUUUUGAAAAGCAUGUUUCCUACUGGCAUUACGGUAUUAUCUCUCUUUUCUGGAAUCGGAGGUGCUGAAAUUGCGCUGCACAGACUUGGUAUUCCAUUGAAGACUGUCGUUUCUGUAGAAAUUUCAGAGGUUAGCAGAAGUAUUUUUCGUGGUUGGUGGGAACAAACAAAUCAAAGGGGUAAUCUCAUUGAACUAGAAGAUGUACAAGAGCUGAGUACAGAUCAGCUCCAGAAGUAUAUCAACACAUAUGGUGGAUUUGAUCUAAUUGUUGGAGGUAGUCCAUGUACUAACCUUACUGGGAGCAACCUACAUCAUAGAGAUGGACUUGCAGGGAAGGAAUCGAUUCUUUUCUAUGACUUCUGGCGAGUUCUAAACACUGUCAAGUGCAUAAUGCGUAACAACAAAUGACCAUAAGACAGGUAACUGUUUACGGACGUUAUAUUUGUACGAUGAAGUAUUAUUGGCUUUUAAUUUCAUGCAUAAACUAAUACCUUUUUUUAAAUCUUUCUUUGGUCCAUUUAACACCUUGUUAUAAUGUUUGCUUAUGUUUUUAAGUUUAACACGUUGUUCUAUUGUUACUACAAGAUAGUUUAAAUAUUCGUGUGUUUCCUUCUAAGUCUUAUUGCGUCCAUCCUUGCACUAUAUAAUGAUAUGAAAGAAAGUUUGACUAUACUGUAAGACCAGUACGCCUGUAAAGCGAUUUUCCUUGAAUCCUUUUUACGACCAGUUGUAUAUUGGUUAUGCUUGUUUCUAGUUUAGUCUGGAAGUCUCGUGGUUACCAUUAGGUCAAAAUCCUGCCAACAGAACCUCUGAAUCCUGCCCAUAAUACAGGGACUUUUGAUCGUGUGGGCCUUUGCAGGGCCUAGUUAUGGAGAAGGUGCUUUGAAGGGGUAGUCAGGAAAGACAAUGGAAGGCGUGUUGCAAAAUUGAUCAGCCUUUUUUUUGUUCUGUUCAAUUAAGGGGAUACUUCUUUACAAGAAGUGACAGAUUUGGAAAUAUUAUUUGCGAGAAGACAGGAAUCAGUUUCACAGAGUAGAGAUUAGCUAUCUCUGUCGUUCGUAUUGCACAUGGUCGUUCGUAUUGCACAUGGGUUCAGAGGUCCUUGAUAUAGUUACAUUGGACUUGUGAAAAAUGAUUUGAAUUCUUUACAAAUUUUGAGUUAAUAUGGGUGCUCCAUCACUCAAAACACACACAUGAGGUACUACGCAAUUGAAACGACAAUUGCUAGCCUCGUUAGAUAGGGAGUUUUGUCAUCUCCCUUUUCUCCUACCAAACUUCUGCAACUGAUAGGAAUUGAUUUUUAAAAGCAAACUGGUAUCUUCUUUACUAUCAUAUUCUGAAUAUAUACUCAUUUUUUUCUGGAAAAAUAUAUGAACGUACCAUUGGCUAGCCUAUGUUAUAAAAAAGUACGCAUGAUUUGUGAGUUGUAAAUUCCACUGCUCGGUUUUGACCAAUGUGAGUUCGUGAGAUUUUAUAGGCACAGUUGUUCAACAACAAAGGAUUCCACCACAUGUUUCUCUCUCUCACGCACACAAAAUGUUCUUUUUCUCUUAAUUUUUUUUCGAAUCAUCUUACUUCAUAAAUGUCAUUAUGGAUAAUCAUGCACUGUGCAUGUUUUAACUUUUUUACUUUAGACAAUAAGUUUAUCUGUAGGUUUCUAGUUGCUACUUUUCUACUAUUUAAGGCAUUUUUUUUUUUUGGUCGAUAAAAGAUUUGUUUUAUUUAUUUGGAAAAUUCUACUAUUUAAGGCAUAGGUCUAGUAAGAAGAAAAUCACACAUUCUGACAAAAAAACGUCUAUUGGCAGGUGAAGUCACAAAUUUUUGGAGCAGAAUUUCAGAUGAUCGUCAAUUUUGAUGUGCAAUGAUAUCCUAAUUUAAUGUUAUUUGGGAAUAGAUUUGAUAUCUUGAAGUUUUUGACGUUGAAGUUUUGUCUGCAAGUAAUGUUAGAUGAUGGGUUGUAUUUGUGUGUAUAACAGUUGCAAAAUGCUAUAUAUUACAUCUUUCCUUUCAACCUGCAUAUUACUUGUUGACGCAGAUGCACGAUUGCACUUCUCUCUCAUUCUGGUGUUUUGGUGUUUCAAUCCGAUUCAAUCUGGUGUUUUGGUGUUUCAAUCCGAUUCACUUCUCUCUCAUUCUUCUUCAUCAAUUAGUAAUAAGAAAUUGGAGUUUUCACCAUUGGUGUUCUAGUUUUUCUAUCCGAUAUACUUAAUCCCUCCCUCAUUGUUUCCUUGCAAAAUGCAAACUAGUUAUUGAAAAUAGACAAAGAGAUAGACGCAUUAAGCAGUUAGGUAAAUUUUUUGGAGAUAAAUAGAAAUUAAUGUAUUAAUUAGUGAUAAUUUCAUUGUUAACUUGUGGAGUAUAUGUACACUAGAUAUGACCCGUCCCUAUGGGAUGCUUAUUUUUAAUUAUAGUUAAAAUUACUAAUUUUGAAGGCACACAUUUUUAAAGGAAGUACUGAUUUUGAACUUUGCACACAUUUUUAAAGGAUCAAAAUGGACAGUUGACUGUUCAAUUGAUUCAGAAAACAAUUGUAACUUUUUUUGUCAUGUAUUUACUAUUUUUUUUUCAAGGUUGAUAUUAUUGCAAAAUGUGAAAUUAUACACUGCUAUUAGCCUAUUUUAUGUGAGAUUACAUUAGAAAAAGGGGUAAUAUACUACCAUCCUGGUCAGCAUAUGUAGUUACGUAUAUCAUCAGGUGAAUAGAAAGAAAACAGAAUACACGACCUGAAUGAAUAUAUCUUUAUUCAACAGCUUAGUUAUUUCCUUGGUUGAGGUCUCUUCACAGCUUCUGAAACUCUGUGUGAAAUUUAAAGACCAGGUUCUUGUGUUCGCUGUCAGAUUCAUAUGCCCCGUUAAUUAAAUUGAUGCAGUGAUAUACAUAUCACAAAUUAUGUGUUUAUUUGUUUUCUUAUAUUUUCAGAGAUUGCAUUUAUCAUUCUCAUAAGCCAUUGGUGACAGCAUGCAUUAUAUCAGUGACUAAUGGGGGCUAAAUCUUUAACAGGCAAUCAUUAAGCCUCAAUAUGUUGACCACAUUCCAAAGGCAGGGCAAGGAAAUGUUGGGUUGGUUCUAGACCAAAAAGAUGAGAGAAACAUGAAGGCUGAACUGUGUAAGGAUCUUGAUUUAAAUCAGGUCAUUGAUCGAAAUGUGGGUGAUCUAUUAGGACUUUAGGAGGUCGAAAAGCAUGUGAGAUUUGCUAUUGUCGUGGUUGCUAUACAGAAUGUAGAGAUAUAUAUGUUUGAUGAGCCUUCAAGUUAUCUUGAUGUUAAGCAAAAACAUAAAGCUGCUCGGGUUGUUCGAUUCUUGCCUAGACCUGUCAGGGAAUGUUCCUGUAGUUUUUGACUAUGCAUAAGCAACAUUUUUUAUCCUACUUUUAUCAUAUGAGUUGACAUCAAUAUAAGAGUCCCUUUUUUUUUUCUCUUCAGCUAUGUGAUUGUUGUGGAGCAUGACCUGAGCGUCCUACAUUACUUGUCAGACAUUACAUGCUGGUUAUAUGGAAAGCCUGGAACGUAUGGAGUUGCUCUUCCUUUCUCUGUUAGAGAAUGAAUCAACAUCUUCUUGGAUGAGUUUGUCCCCACUGAGAUUUUACGAUUCACUUACAUUUAAGGUGAGUCUGUGACAAUGCAUUGCAGGUAGGACUUGUGGAUUGCUUCUUAAGUUCUUUAGUAAAGAAUUUCUUUCCUUCUUCAGGUUGCGAAGACUCCUUAAGAAAGUGUUGAAAAAAUUUAGACAUAUAUAUGCACGAUAUAGAUACCCAACAAUGAGUAAAACUUAGGAAAAUUUUAGGCUUCGUGUCAGUAAAGGUGAAUUUACUGAUUUUCAAAUAACUGCCAUGUUUGGUGAGAAUGGAACGGGAAACACAACCUUCAUUCAUAUGUUUUUUUUUAAUAAUCAGUCUUCAUUCAUAUGUUGGUAUCCUGGAAUACUUGUUCUUUUCAUGUAUUUAUGGCAAUUUGAAGCUCUUCCAAUUUUAGAAAUUAAAUUGUUGCAUGACCUGAAACAAAUGUAUCCUCAUUAUGUUGUUAUGGCAGGCUGGUUUAUUGAAGGCUGACCUUGUGGAAUUCAAAUAUUUUUCACCAUGUGAUGGUGAAAACAUUGAACUGCAAAAUGCUUGGAAAAUACAUAUGAAUGAUAUGUGACGGUGAAAAAUAUUAAGCAUUGCACGAAAGAAUAUAUGUUCGCUUUUCUCCCCACCUAAAAAGAAAUCUCAAACUUCUCUCCAAAAGUGUACCCCCAAGAAAUGACAACAAUUGGAAAUAUAACUAAAUCCUAAUAACAAACACCAAUUACCAACAUCACCAAUAACAUUAGGAGAAGAAUCUGAAUCUAAAUAUUUCAUAGAUUCUUUUCACUCAUCCCUUCCAACAUUCACAAACCAAAGUGACUUUUUUUUUUUUUCGAUAAGAAACAUUUUAUUAAUAAAGAAUGUGGCGAAGUACACACCUGAUUAACAUACACCAGUAGUGUAUUGUCAGAUUAACCCUAUAGAGAACAUAGUACAUUAAUUAGGAGUGUAUAUUUCUCUUCAUGUUGUUAUCCCAUUGAUCCAAUAGCUCAUUCUAUUCCUGUCUUCUCUGUCGCAGCUACGAACCUAGCCAAUACCAAACUGUCGUUUUGACCUCCAUAAUGAUCUUUUGAAACUGGCUUGCUUCUGAAAAAGUUUUCAUUCCGGUUCUUCCAUGUCAUCCAAAUUAUGGCAUAUGGAAGCACUUGCCAUACCCUUACUGCAAUUUCAUGUCCAAGCGGCCGGGCCAUCAACCAUUCCUCCAAAGAGUAAGUAAUGAACAGAGAAUGGAAGAUUUAUGAUAAUGAAAUGGUAAGGUUCUUCCAUACCUCAAGGGAAACCAAGUAGUGGAGGUAGAGGUGCACAUUUGUUUCAUUAAUUGAAUCACAAACCUGACAUAUUGACGGUAGUUGUUGGCCACUCUACUUGUAGACGAAAGAGUGGGAAUCGGAUCAACGCAUCAUUGAAAACUGAUUGUCUAUAUUAUCUAAACUUUUGCUUCGGUUGUUCAGUGUCACCAGGCCAUUUUCGAUGCACCCACAACACGAUUAACUGCAUCGAUCUCUUUGCAUACCAAUGCUCUAAGAAGUCUCUACAAAAUGAAGUGAAAACUAAGUAAAAAACUUCAAUCCAUUUCCAUUUCAGAUUUUAUGCCUGCCUACCUAUCAUACUAGCUUAGGCGCACAAAUCUAUAUGGGUGUGCUCAAUGCAGCAAAAAGAGUUUCCAAAUGACACAAUAGCUAUUAAUAAGUGAUGUCAUGGGCAUUCUCAAUUUCGCAUAUUUUCUGGUAUGCAGGUGGUAUAGAUAUAAGGGUACUGGUGGUGUCGCCAUUGAAUUGGCCAACGAAUCAACACCUAUUGAGAAGCAACGUAUAUUGUGAAAUUGACGACACUCUCAGUGAUUAUGUUUUCUGCAGUCUUUUUGUGUGCGCGUGUGUAACUCUUCUGCAAUUGAUCCUAAGGUUUCCGAAGGUGAUGAAUGGAUGUAUUACAUAUUUGCAUUGUGUUAGGUAAGGAAAUGGAAUAGUAAAAAAAGGUUUCUUGUCAAAAGUAAGAUUGGAUUACUUUGUUACUUGUUUGUUUCCUUGGGCAUUCUCAAUUUCGGAUAGAUAUUCUUUAAGGUCUUUCCCGGAGUUUUUAUUUUCUUUUCUGUAAUGUCACCUGCCUUAUAAAAGGCUAAUUUGUAAGAACAGGUAAAGAUUGGUAUAGCUAUGUAAUUGGGGUUCGAUGCUGAGAUAACAAAUCAACAACCCACAUGUUAGUAAGACUGUAGAAAUUGCAGGUCUGGUGGUCAACUGGCCAUAGUAAUUGAGUUCAGCUGUGGACCUUCUAAAAAACUCUCUCCAUCUCAGUUUUCACUGUCAUUUUAUUUUUAUACGUAGUUUUUAUGACCUACAGAUGUCUGAAUUUUCAUAGAUAUGACAUUUUCUUGAGCUACUGAAAUUUGAAUCUUAUUAUGACAUCUGAUGUGUCCCAAAUGAAACAUGUCAAGUUCGACAAAGUAUUAGACCAUCAAUUAGGAGUUAAGUAAAUUAAGAGGUAGUUCUGAUUUGUUACAAACAAUACUCCUCAAACUGUGUAUUGUUAAAAAAGUAGGAUGUGUAGAUACCUUGUUAAUAGCUUAGGUAUUUACAUGGUAUCACCAUUUAAAGUGAAUUCAUUUUGUGAUAUUUAAAAUCUUACUGUUAGAUCUAAGCUACACAAAACGAACUUGAUCCGCCAGUUUAUGUUUUCUCUCAAGCAAAGAAUUAUAAAAAGUUUUUAAGUCAGAUAGAAAUUCGCAAGACGUUCAUGUAAUUCAAAAAGUUUAACACAUUAGUGAAUACCAAUUUAUUUGAGAACAUAAUCAGUACCUCGCAAAGAUGAAUCUAUAUUGCAGAGGCUGCAUAACUCUAAUUACGCAACAAAAAUUGUUUGAGAGAGUUCUAUCCCUGCAAUAUAAGGAGUUGUGUGGAAAAUUUAUCAAUCCACUAAUUAAUACUAAAAGUUCAUGAAUUUUGAAGCAGAUGUAUGAAUCCCAAUAUGGGUUCUGCCACAUGGCCCCGAAGAAUUGAUUUACAUUCAUUAUAACCUUCCCAAUAGGCUAUACCUGUGGCUGUGCUUUAAUUUGGGAAGUAGAAUGUUAUGCCAUAGGUUAUACAUACCUGUGGUAUAACACUAAAGAGACGAAAAAAAAUAGCUAAUGGUGCAUCAUCUCUGCUUUGAAUGGAUUUUCAGAAUUGGAAUAAUGCCUAUUACCAUUUUAAUUGUCCAAACCUGAAAAAGUAAAGAGAAGCUAAUGCUAAACCAUAUUCAUGCUUAUCAAGACAAAAAAAAAAAUAAAAUUAGACUUGUUUAUGCUAAACCUUAUUCAUUAUACUAUGACACUGACAUGCUUAUUAAGACUGACAGUGAUAUCUCACAACAGGUUCGGCAUUUGUAAUCAUAACAUUUUCAAUCAAUUUCGGGUACAACAUUUGUACUGUUCCUAAAUUUUUUUUAUGUGCAGGUGCAGAAAGGUAUAGAAGGCAAAGAGAUUAUGCAUCAUUGUGUAGAUGACAAAGAGAUUAUUAUAACGGGAGAUGAGAGGAGGGGUAUGGAACAGGGAGUUCAAAGAAGGAUGUAUGCAAAUUAAUGGAUAACCCGAAUAACUUACAAACAAAUUGUAAUUGAAUCCAUGUUCGACAUCUACGUCCACAUCCUCAUUCUCAUACUGCAAAAAUAAAAAAUUAAAACCUGCAAAAGUCAGUAAGCAAAAAUACAAUAAUGCCUUCUUGUCAAUAGUUCAAUUCUAAUCCUAUUAACAUACAAGGAUGAUACCAGGUUCAUAUCAGCUCGUGGAGAUCACAAUAUAUUCUAAUUGUACUGUGGACUAAACACAUAUAAUUAGAUUAGCAGAAGAAAAAUCUAAUAUAUUAUAACCUGCACUUAUAAAACUUGGUAAAAAGACAAACAAGGGUCAAGAUUUGCACAGGAGAUUUUAAAGAUUGGGUUUAAUGAGAUUCAUUUUAGAUGGUUAGGAUUAAUUAUAUGGUUCAAUGCAUAUCCUAAGAAAAUCCUUAUUAAUAUGAUUUAAUAAGUAGUUAAGUACGUCUCUCUCAACUCUAUGCUUUUCUCUCUCUCUUAACUCUACGGCUUUCCAUUGUCCUCUUCCGUUUAGAACUCUAUGUUUUUCUCUCUCUCUUCCAUUGUCCUCUUCCUCAGCAGUAACAUCACAAAUACACAAAUACUUUCAUCAUUGGUAACAAAUCACUCUCCCAUUCUUUUCUCCCUCAUUUAAUUCCAGGUAUUUGUAUGUUUAAUUGUAUGUCUGCAACCAACAUUUUCAGAUAGUUCAUCUAAAUACCUUCAACUGAGGACAACCAAAUUAGAUUAAUCCUAACCAAUUACAACUUAAACUAAUCUAAUUUGGUUGUCCUCAAGCAGUUACCCCGUAAAUACCUUCGGGCUGAAAAGAUGUUUUGAACUCUGAUCGAUAUUGUUGAUUUGAAGUUUGUUUUUUGAAUUUUGGACUUGAACACGUGGCUGCCAUGCAUUCCUGUUUCGUACCAUCAUUACGGUUUACGGGGAAGUGGAGAAGUUUCCUCAAGCAGUUACCCCGUAAAGUUUUGGCAACUGAAACACUCCUUGAUUGAUGGCCCUUUGUUGGACACGUGGAUUGAUCCAACGGUGGAUCUGAAUCGUCGGGCUAGUGGGUAAUAACUCCAAAGGUCGUGGUUGUCUAUGUGUGAUCUUGCCCGUUGAUUUGAAUUGAAUCGAUGGCUGGGAUCUCUUCUCUAUUGGUAUUUAAGCUGUAGCUUCCUAUCAAAGUUUCUUACUUUCUUCAUUUGCUCUCUCGAACUGCUGCUGCUUUCUGGUUGUGACCUGAAGAUCUUGAGAGUUCUUGAGGUGAGUUCCUUCUGCUUUAUUCUUUACUUCAUUGCUUUGUUUCAUUUUCCUUCAUUUGCUUCCAUAUUGAGAGAUGUCGGAUGGUAGCGACUCUCAAAAUGACCAUUUGAGUGGAGAUGGUGUUGGUGAGUACGAGUCUGAAGAUGAACGGACUCAUUCUGGUGACGAUGCUUGCUCCCCUGAGAGAGAGGAGGAGUGUUUAGAUGAAGGUAGCCCUGGAAGUAGUGGUCCUCAUGGGAAGGAUUCUUCUGAUGACGAGAUGGUGGAGGGCGAGAAUAACUCGUUUUGCCAUGUAGUUAACCUAUCUUAUGUGAAGAGGCACAUCGCUUUUAGGAAGAGAUAUGGGUUGGAUUCCAUUAGGCAUCUUGAAAUUAGGUUUUUGGAAGACCGUUUACUCUUAGAGGAGUAUCGACCUAAUAACUCGUUUUCCACAGUUUUCACUUUGGCCCAGUUCCGAGCUGGGCUUAGGUUACUCCUUUCUUGUUUGGUAGUCGACCUCUUGAAUGCUAUCAGACGAGCUCCUUGCCAGAUGAACGGUAAUUUCUGGAGGAACAUGAGGGUUAUAGAUGACCUUAACAGAUUGCAUAGGUGGAAUGUUACCGUAAAGGAUGUGUUGGGUCACUUCUGUUUCAAGCGAUCUGCGAAGCUGGAGGUGGGGGGUUAUAAUAUGCAGGUCAGGCCUAGGGAUGUUCACGGGUUGGUUCGGGGCCGGGUACCCCUAUCUCCGUCCCCAUCCCCAUUUAGGUUUUUAGUCUCCAUCCCCGUCCAUUUCCCCGUUUAAGACUAUUCGGGGAUCCCCAUCCCCACCUCCAAUGGGGAUCGGUUCUCCGCGGGGCUCCAUUUAUAGUUUUAGAUAAUCAAAUAAUAAUAAUAAUAAUAAUAAUAAUGACUAUUCAUAAAUUUAAAUUAUCAUAAUAAUAUCUUAAAUUACAAUUUCAAGUUAAAACCUUCAACUAAAUUUAAUCCAAACAAAAUACAAGCUUGAAAUCUUGAACACGCGGCCACAAAGUCUAAAAAAAAAAAAAAUCAAAAAUUACAUUGUCAAAUUAUAGUCUAUAUUAGUUAAUUUUUAAAUUUAAGUAUAUAAUCGGGUCGGGUCCGGGUUUGGAGACCAUAAUAUCCGUCCCCGCUCCAAAACUUAAUCGGGCUUCAAAAUGACCUCCAUACCCACCCGAUCCCCAUUUAUACCCCUCCAUAUCCGCCCCAUUCGGGUCGGUUCUCCGCGGAGACCCGCCUCCACGGGUUUUUACAUCCCUAGUCAGGCCAGAUCGCCUGUCCUUGACUUACCCCGUGAGUAGUGAGCCAUUGUGAAAGGAGCCCAUGUUGCUUACAGGUCAGAUAACUGAAGGGAAUCUUCAUUUAUCUCAUGUUACCAGGAAUGUGAAUGAUAAUCGUAAGCUCCUGGUCGUUGGUCUUUAGAUCGUUGUUGGGUGAUCUAUUUGCCUUUGUUUAUUUAUGGUCCUUGACUUGCUUUGUUUAUUUUGUAGCGAUCAGGGACGACCAUCUUGUCAAGAAAAAUGACCUGAAAUCUUCUUUUAACGUUUUUGGGUCUUGGACUGACUAGCGAAAGAUAAAGUUUCUUCCUCAUCUGAAGGAUUAUUUUAUUCCCAAGGGUGGUCCCAAGACUGUUGCGGACGAGCUGGAGAGGAGGAGAGUGUUGAAGAAAAACUUCAUGAGUUCGGUGCAGAAAGCUAGCUUGAGUGAGAAGUCUCGAUCUGGUACCAGCUCGAGGCAGAAUGAUCCAAUUGCGAGCCCCCAGAUCGUUUCCCCUCCGACCUCUCUACCCAAGCUACCUUCCGGCUCGAGCAAGAAGAGGUCGUUCUCUGGGAACCUGAAGUUGAUGGAGCCGCCACCAAGCAUAACUUCCCCUGUUCCUCUGAAAGCCUUGCGAGCUCCUGACCCUACUCCCUUGUCUAGGAAGACUAUUGUUCGCCACUCGAGCAAGGGCAAGGGGGAAUAUAUAGCUAUUGGUCCGGUCUCGGUUCUUGUUUUUAUAGAACCGAGAGAACCGAACCGAACCGAAAUAAAUAAAAAAACAUUUUUUUUAUUAGUAAAUUACUAAACUAGACAUAGGAAUUAGGAAACCUAUGGUGGAUCCAUGGUUGGUUCAUUGGUUUUGGACCUUUUUCCUAUUUAGUACUUGAUUUGGUGUAUGUCUUAUUUUGUUUAAAGCCCAAAACUUAAAAAAAAUCAUUUAAAUUGUAGUGGACUAAUAAAAAAGCCCAAGCCCAAUAAAAAAGCCCAGGACCGAGUUUCGGACCGAAACCGAACCGAUUGUAUUUGGUCCGGUUCGGUCCGGUUACAUUCAAAUAAUUUCGGUCCAUGGAACCGAAACCGAACCGAUAUUUUCAAGUCGGUUUGGUCCCGGUCCUAUUACAUUUUAGGACCGGACCGGACCGUGCCCACCCCUAGCAGCCACCAAGCAUAACUUCCCCUGUUCCUCUGAAAGCCUUGCGAGCUCCUGACCCUACUCCCUUGUCUAGGAAGACUAUUGUUCGCCACUCGAGCAAGGGCAAGGGGGUUUCAUCUGAAUUUCGACCUGGCCCUUUCGACUAUCUGGACGGCCAGGGAGGUAAACACGUUGUCUAUGACAAUGAUAGUGCUAUAGAUCACCCCCUGUGUUGCCCGAGCUGUUAACGAGGGUAUUGUUCUUGAGGCUGACGCUCGCAUGGUGAAGUCGCAGAGUCUUCUUGUGACUUGCUCCAAGAUAAAUUCUGCUCUUUCUCUGGUAAGCUGAGUUUAGAUUCACGUUUGAGACUAACUUUGGAAAUUGUAUCCUUUAACCAUUGUUUUGUGCAGCUCAACGCUAGCUUCCAGGAGGUCCGUCUGGUCGCUGAGGUUGGCGCGAGGGCUGAGAUCGAGCUGAAGCAUCUGGACGAGAAGCUCGAGCAGGCUAAAAACAUUGCUGUUAUUGCUGAGACGAAGGUGAGGGACAGGGAUGGGGAGAUUGUAGCGCUGAAGGAGAUGAUAGAGGGUCUUAGAGGUGAGGUUACUGCUGCUAAGGACUCUGCGACGUACUGGGAGGGCGCGUGCCGAAAGAAUGGUGCUGAAUGGCAGGCGUACUGUGAGAACCUCAAGAACCAACUGCUGGGGUCGCCCUAAGGAGAGGAGACACUAGUUGGUGACGAGGUCGCUCUAGUCCCAACGUAGGACGCCUCGAUGGGCCCUGGAGAUGGGGUAGAAGGACUCUAGAACGAGCUGGUCGAGCCAGACGAGCGGACUUCGCAGCAGUGACCUUCUCUCUGUCUUCAGUGAUUCCUGGUGUUUUCUUGUUCUUGUAUGCAUUCCUCACUGCUGGGCAGUACAUCUCCUUCUUCUUCUCACGUUCAGUCUUCAUCUUCUUCUCACGUUCAGUGUUCAGCUCGAGUGGUUGUGAGGUUUAGCUAGAUGGUCUUGAAUGCUAUUUUGAUGGGUUAUAAUCAUAAACACUAGUGAUCGAUCUGCUUCGGCAGAUCGAUUGCGCCUUUAUUUUCUGCAUUUAUAUUCCUUGUUGUGGAUAAUGUAAACUGUCGCAUUUGGGCGACUAGUUUCCAGGGAGUCCUGGUAGCUCGUUCAGAAGGCAGGUAGACGAGAUGAAUGGCUGCAAGCAGGGCGGACUGAAAUGCUUCCUCUUGUAUGCUUUAGUUAAAUGAAUUUGUUUUUUUCUUCUCGUCGUUGUAGUUUGCCUUGGUUUUGCAGGUAGCUUCUCUCUUGCAAGCUGGAUAUGUGGAAUGUUGGCACAGCCCCCAAGUAGUUUAGGUCGAUGUAAUAGAUCGUUUUUCCUGUAAUAGUUAAGCUUUUGAAGUAAAUAAAUAAAAUGAAAUUUCACUUGUUUACCUUGCUCGCCUCUAUUUUAUUUGCAUUGUCUACUUGUAUUGAUUCGCAAACACCAAAUAGUAAGUCAAAAUCUCGACCUGUUCUAGGAUUUGGUCGGUUGAGUAUGUACUUUACUUAGGUCGUGGGAUAGUUAUGACCUAAGUAAGGAGUGUUAGUUGGAUUACAGAUGUCAACUUAACACUUAAAAAUUAUCAAAGGGACUUGAGGAUUGAUAAUUUGAAGGUCUGGGGAUUGAGUUAGACCUAUUCAAGCUAUUCAUGUUUGAACUGAAAUGAAGGCAAAAUUGAGCUCGGUUAUUGAAAUAUGAGAAUCCAUCCUUACAUUUUACUGGUAAAACUUCUUCAAAUGAUAAGCAUUUCAUGGAUUCUUCACAUCUCCCCCUUCUGGAGUUUGAAGGCGAUAAGAUCCAUUGCUUUGGACCUUUGUGAUGAUGUAAGGACCUUCCCAUUUGGCGUUGAGUUUUCCAACAUUUGCAUUUCUUUUAUUGUGGAACAUUUUUCUUAAUACGAGCUCGCCUGGUUGAAAAGAUUGAGGUCGGACGCCUUUGUUAUAAGCUCGUUUAAGCCUUUGUUGGUAUUGCUCGAGCUUAAUGGUGGUGUGGUUUCUCCUUUCUUCAACCAGAUCUAUUCCGAACGACCAGGCUUGGUUAUUGAGCUCGGUAUUGACCAGUAGUGACUUGGUCGUGCCAAAUGUCAGGUCAGUUGGAAUAACAACUUCUACUCCAUAGCAAAGGCUAAAUGGAGACAUUCCUGUUGAUGUUCGAUGAGUUGUUCUGUAGGCCCAGAGGAUGUUUUCUAGCUGCUGUGGCCAUUGGUCUUCCUGAUCUUCAAGUUUUUUCUUCAAGUUAGAUAGAAUUUGCCUGUUCGCAGCUUCGACCUAACCAUUGCUUUGUGGAUAUCGAGGCGUCGAUCUAGAGUGCUCGAUUUUCCAUAGUGCAUAGAAAGCCUUAAUGUUUUUUCCCACGAACUGGGUUCCGUUGUCAGUAACUAUUCUCUUGGGCAAACCAAAUCUUGUGAUUAUGUUUUCCCACAUAAAUCGUUGCACAUCUGCUUGAGUAAUGUUGGUGAGUGCGACGGCCUCUACCCAUUUGGUGAAGUAAUCAACCGCGACUAGAACAUAUCUUUUCUCAGAUUUCUUUUCUUUUAUUAAUGGGCCCAUGAUGUCGAGCCCCCACAUGUGAAAUGGCCAGGGAACAGUGAUGUUGAUGAGGUCGUUGGGAUGCUGAUGCGCGUGGUCGGCAAAACGUUGACACUCCUUACACUUUAACACAAACAUUUUUGCAUCUUCCUUCAUUCUUGGCCAGAAAUAUCCUUGCGAGAUCGCUUUAUGAGCAAGUGUGCGACCUCUUGAGUGAUUUCCACAUUCUCCCUCUCGAAUCUCCUGGAAGAUGAUUUGUCCAUGCUUGGGAAUUAGACAUCUUAGGAGCAGGCCAGUUGCAGAUUUUCUAAAUAACUUUCCCUCAUGUAGCCUGUACAUAAUGACAUUAUGUAAUAACUGGCUGGCCUCCUUCUUAUUUGGUGGGAGCUCGCCAGUUUGCAAGUAAUUGAUGAAGGGUUCCAUCCAGGUUCCCUUGAUAUCUUCUGAGGUCGUGGCGAGUAGGUCGCUUAUUUGGUUGACCACUUCCUUCUUUAGUAGAUACGCAGGCAGCGUACUUAUUGCUAUGGUUAGAGCUCGAGGUCGAUCUGACUCGACCUUGGAUGCUAAGAAUGCUAGUGAGUCAGCAUGUCUGUUAUCAUCCCUUGGAAUGUGGUUGAUGGUAAAGAAACUGAAUUUGCUGAUUAGCUCCUUUGCCUUGCUUGCAUAUCUUAUCAAAUUGACUCCAUGUAUUUGGUAAUUGUUUGUAAUCUGAUUUACUACCAGUUGCGAAUCGCUGAACGCUUUGAGUCGAACUGCUUGUAGGUUGAUUGCCAUUUGUAGACCUUGGAUUAGAGCUUCAUAUUCGACUUCAUUGUUAGAGGUCGAGAAGUCUAACCGAGUUGACCUUUCGAAUUUUGAGCCCUCAGGUGAAAUGAGUACGGCACCGAUGCCACUUCCAUUCGAGUUGUGUGAACCAUCAACGUAGAGUCGCCAAGUGUCUAGUGGAUCGACUUGGAUUUGUCUGGUUUCUGGUUCUGGUUCCCAGCUGAAAUCUUCGGCAGGGUAGUCUGCUAAGAAAUCAGCUACGACCUGGCCCUUGACGGCCUGGCGAGGUACGAACUCAAAUGUGUAAUCACCGAGCUCAGCUGCCCAUCGAGCCAUACGACCUAUUUUGUUCUUCUUUUCUAGUAUGUGUCGUAGUGGCUGAUCGGUGAUUACUUUAACGGUGUGUGCUUGGAAAUAAGGUCUAAACUUGCAUGCAGCGUAAAGAAGAGCUAAUGCUAACUUUUCUAGAGGUGUGUACCUUAUUUCAGCUUGUUGCAACACCUUGCUUGUGAGUUGCUUGUGAGGUAGAUUGGUCGCUCGACCUGAUUUUUUUCCUUGAACAGUAUUGCGCUGAUCGCAAAAUCUGAAGUGGCGAGGUAAAUUCUGAGCACAUUUCCAUCAUUAGGCUUCGUGAGAACUGGUGGAGUGGAUAAGUAUGCCUUCAGCUCGGCAAAGGCUUUUUCGCAUUCUUCUGUCCAUUGAUAUGCAACCCCCUUUCUAAGAAUAUGAAGCAUUGGUCGACACUUAUCGGAUGCUCUAGAAAUGAAUCUAUUAAGAGCUGAUACCAUGCCGUUAAGUUUUUGGAUUUGCUUAUUUGUCUUCGGGCUGGGCAUAUCAAUCAGGGCUCUGAUCUGGUCGGGGUUUGCUUCAAUACCCCUCUUUGUAACUAGGUAACCAAGAAAUUUCCCUGAUGCUACUCCGAAUAGACAUUUUUCUGGGUUAAGUCUCAUCCUGAAUUGUCUUAACCUUUGAAAUGCUUGAUCGAGAUUGGCCAAAUGAUCUUGCUUGAGCCUGCUUUUUACCAACAUGUCGUCAAUGUAGACCUCCAUUGUCCGACCUAGUAGAUCGUCGAACAUUUUUGUGACGAGUGGGAAUGAAUCUUUAGGGCAAGCUUUAUUCAAGCUUGUGAAGUCGAUGCAGACUCUUAUUUUCCAGUUCUUCUUUAAAAUUGGAACUAUGUUGGCCAACCAAUCUGGUGUGUCAACUUCCUUGAUGAACCUGACUUGUUUGAGUCUACUAAUUUCAUCAUUGACUGCUUGAUAAAAUUUUGGGGCGAGUCUUCUUGGUUUUUGCUUGACGGGUCGAUAACUUGGAUUUACUCGUAGUUUAUGACAUGCUAUUGAUGGGUCUAUUCCAGGAAUAUCAAUGUACGACCAAGCAAAAACAUCUUUAUUUAGAGAAAGAAAGUUUACAAAGUCGUUAUACUUAUCUUCCCCUAAUUCCGAGCCCACAUAAACAUAUUUUGGGUUGUCCUCUGACCCUAGGUUCACUCGCACUCCUGGAUCUGUGCUUCCAAGUGAUAGUUGGGGGGAGCUCGCUUGCUCCUGCUCUAGUUGCUAUUUGGCUACUUCAGCCUUUCCCUUUGAUGGGCUCUUUGCUUGUUUCUCGACCUCUUUGGCUUAUGAGGUCGGUGGACUCUUUACCUGCUUCUCAGCGUCCUUGGUUCCUGAGGUGGAUGGCCUAUCAGACGCCACGGCUUCAAUAAUUCCAUGGCACUCUUGAGCAGCGUUCUGAUUGCCCCUAAGCUCCAUUAUCCCGUUGGGGCCAGGAUAACGGAACACUUGAUGGUACGUUGAUGGUACACCUCGCAUGGCAUGGAUCAGACCAAGUAUCGCAUUAUACUUACUUGCGAUGUUUAGGAUGCUGAACUUUGCUGUUACAACAACCUUACCUUCUUUCCUGCCCACAGUGAUGGGCAACAAUAUUUCUCCCUUUGGGUCCUCUCUCGAGCUGUUGAAGCCCAAGAUUGGAGUGAAAUCCGGAAUGAGGACUGAAUCGGGAAGCCUCAUAUCCUUGAAAGUCCUGUACAUCAGUAUGUUACAGGAUGCACCUGGGUCAAUGAGGACCCUCUUGACAAUGUAGUCAGCAAUUCUUAACUCGACGACCAGAGCAUCGUUGUGUGGUGUAACGACCUUGUUUAGGUCGUCCUCAGUGAAGCUCAGAUCUGUUUCCUGCUGGGCUGGAAUGUUAGUUCGAGCUGCUCGGUCUGUGAUGGAGUAGACAUGAUGGAGGUGUUCUACUCGCCUUUUCUUCUCUCGAGAUAUUGGAGUGGAGUUGGACUCAUAGAUCAUGUAUACGACAUGACUCUCUGUUUCACUGUCAUCAUCUAUCUUGUUUGCGACCUGCUUGUUGAUUUGGUCGCGUAGGUCGCCUGUUGGACCUAGUCUUCUUGAGAGGUUACACCCUCUGCUGCGUGCUGGACUUGUGGAGGCCGUUCUGGCCUUGCUCUGAGAUCGUUUUUCAGAACGUGUGGGUGUUCUAGAUCUCUUCUUCAUUCUCUUCUCACUGGACCCUUCUUGCUUGCCGUAGAUCCAGUUAUUGAGCCUUUUCUCAUCGGCCCAUGUCUGAAGAGCUCGCUUCAGUAUACGGCAAUCAUCUGUUUGAUGGCAUCUGACUUUGUGGACCUUGCAAUAUGGAUGACCAAAUGUGUCCUCCAAUUGUGUGAAGUCUAGAAUCUUGCACCAAUGGUUGUGCUUAAUGCGCUCAUAGAUAUACCCUGUUGGUCUUGUGAAUCGGUGGUACUCACGUUGCUCUGUGGGCAACGCCUUAGCUUUGAACCUUUUGUUGUCUGAUCGAGGUCUUUUAGUGGAGCAUCCUUCCACGUUUGAAAUGACAUGACUUUUUUCCCUACCUACUAGGGCUUCUUCUAACUUGAUGUAAUGAUCUACCUUGAGGUAGAGCUCGUCUAGAGAUGCUGGCCGCUUCAUGGCCAAAGACUUGGGGAGAUCUGAUCCCUGUAUCAGACCGUGAGUAAUUUUGCUAUCAAAUUUGGGAAGCUAGACAAUUGAAAUGAAUCUUCUUUGUUGGAACAUUUGUGACUGUCAAUCAAUCAAAUGCUAUCCUCUAAUAACACCAUAGAAUUAUUCGAUCAAAAUUUAAGUAUUUAGCACAGUUGGAUUGUGUUUCUUUUUUUACAAUUGACUUCCAUACGGCUAUAAAAUUUAAGUUAUUUUCUAUUUCCUCUAAAACUUUAAGAGUCUUGCUACUUCAUCUUACAAAAUCCAUUUCCUGAUAUGUUUAUUUAUCUUACAAACUGUAGGCUCUGUCCAAGGAAAAACACUUUGUAACUUAUAAAAAAAAUAAUUUAUUCUUCUUCACACCAAUAUAAAUUUGAACGCAUCGAUUGUUCCCUUUCACAGUUUCACAUUGUCUCCUUUAUCUUUGCAUAUAUUGACCUUGUUUAGCCUCAUUUAACUCUUCAAUGCCUUUUUGCCGCUUUGAUUCACUUGACUUACUAUGAAACUGAAUUGUCUGUUCAACAUAAAAAAACAUAACUACUUCAGCAAACAUAUCCAAAACAUAACUGUUCCUUCGUUAAACCACUUAAAACAGUUUCGCCUCUAAAUAAAGCAGGCCCUAAACCUUUAUGAAUUGUACUAAUUGGACAAAAUCCAUGUCUUUAUUAGCACACUGUGCAUUCCAAAUUGCAGACUGAAAAUUAAAAAACAUUCAAUACAAAUCAUGUAAAAAAUCCAUCUUUGAUGAUGUUUAUUAAGAAUUUGAUGAUAAUGAUUGAACUUGAAUUGUUAACAAAAACUACAAGAGUAGAUAAUUAGUUUACCAGAAUGAGUGAGGCGUGAGAUUAUUGUGAACAAAAACUAUGGAAUUAGAGUUAAGCAGAAACUAUGCAAUUAUAGAUUGUAAGAGAAGAGAUAGGUUUAUUUGAUUGAAGGUUUAAGAGAAAAGAAGGGUUUAUGUGAUUCAAAGGAUGAGAGACGCAAGGGAGAGAGAGAUAUCUUAAGAAAAAAUAAAAUAAAAUAAAAUAUAUUUUCCCUCUUCCACCACCGCCAGUAACAUUCUCCCUCUUCCACCACCGCCAGUAACAUUCUUGUCCAACUCCCCACCAACCAGGCCACCAUUAACCCACUGAAUCGCAAUUUAGCUCAAAUCAAAGCCGAGCCGACUCAAGCCACCAGCCGAGUCAGAUCAGCAGCUCAAGCCAGUCAGCCAGACCAGUUAAACCAGCAGCCAGACCAGCCAAACCGGUAGCCAGACCAGCAGCCAGACCAGCUGUUCAAGCCAGCCAAGCCAAAAAAAAAAAAAAAAAAAAAAAUUGGCUGCUUGAUGGAGAGUAUCCAUUGUCCAUUUUGAAAUUUUGAUGGAUGCACCAAAGGACCGUGUGGAAAUGGAUACAAAUCUUCGUACAUCCUAACGCAUGUUAAGAAAGAUCACUUGAAUAUGGUUAAUGACAUCGACAGGCUGAGAGAUGCGAUCAAAGUUGAUAUAGGUUUAUUUUCGUCGCUUGACAAUACUUUGAAGAGGAUGAACAAAUGGAUGUGUGGUGAUUGUUUUGGUAUCCAUGCAUCGACCAUAAAAUGUAAACAUCCGGAUGGUGCAGUCAUCAAACCACCUGCGCGGAAGGAGACCGGUGAGUUAGAGUGUGCAAUUGUAGGUAUACAACCACCACAACUUGUGCAUGUUGAUAAUCCACCCGCACCUACAGCAGGAGGGGACACUGGUAUCGAUACUCACUUUUCUAUUGUUGCACUUUCUUUAGAUGAGAUAUCACUUGAUCGUAUUUUCUGUAGACCUUUUCGCACAGUGAAAAGUAUUCCUCGUCCUUGUCGAUUAGCAUUCUCCUGUGCAUUGAAGUCAGUCUUGUAUGAGGUUACUGCAGACCCCAUGCCGACAGGUCCAUGGGUUAGAUUGCUCCUGCUUCCCUAUUGCACAUUGCAAGUGUUCCAUCUGCAGAAUCGCCAAGAGCGUCGUUCUGGUGCUCGGAAAUAUCUCCAGCAGAAUCAGAUUUUGCGGGCUCUCUCUAUUUGGAACGAGCCUGGGGGUAUAUUUCGUCUGAUUGAGAGGGUCACAGACACAGAGCCUCCGUUGGAACGACCAUCUCGACAGUCCCAAAGCAAGAAUGUACGACGGUGUUUGCAAAAGGUUGCAGACGGGCACUUUGCAGCAGCCGUGAAGGUGUUGGCAUCAUCAGGGGUUGCUCCGAACACUCCAGAGACGCAGCGGGCUUUAGUGGAUAAACACCCGAAGCAUCCACCACCAUCUGUCCCCGACAUUCCUUUACUUGAGUCACCUUUGUCAGUUGAGAGGGAUGGGAUAUUAUCAUGCAUCAGGUCCUUCCCCAAAGGGACGUCUUCUGGGCGAGAUGGUCUCCGGGCCCAACACCUAUUGGAUGCUAUGAGUGGGCCUGCAUCAGCUGUAGCCACAGAUCUUAUGGAGGCCUUGACACCGGUUGUGAACUUUUGGCUACAAGGUCGAUGCCCACGGGUCUUGGCAGAGUUCAUAGCUAGUGCACCACUCACCCCACUUCUUAAGGCAGGUAACGGCAUUCGCCCAAUAGCUGUGGGUAUGGUUUGGCGUCGCCUGGUGUCUAAGAUUGCCAUGAGAGGAGUUUCUAAGGAUAUUGUCCCAUACCUAGAGGAUUUUCAGUUUGAGGUUGGUGUGCCUGGUGGAGCAGAGGCAAUUUUGCAUGUUGUUAAUCGGUUGGUUUAUGCCAACAAGGAUGACACAUCGCUUUCUAUGCUGCUUGUGGACUUUCAGAAUGCCUUCAACCUUGUUGAUCGGUCUGCUAUGCUACGGGAGGUACGCAAUCAUUGUCCAUCUAUUGCUCUAUGGGUCGAAUACCUCUAUUGUCAACCUGCUCGAUUGUAUCUAGGGUCUACUCAUAUUUGGUCAGCAGCUGGGAUACAGCAGGGGGACCCUUUGGGGCCUCUUCUCUUUGCUUUGGUCUUGCAUCCAUUGAUACACCGCAUUCAGUCAGAAUGCCACUUGGAGUUGCAGGCAUGGUACUUAGAUGAUGGUACUCUGAUUGGUAGUACAGAACAUGUGGCUAGAGCUAUUCGUAUCAUUCAGGAAAAGGGACCAUCUCUUGGGCUCGUGCUUAAUGUGUCUAAGACAGAGUUGUUCUGGCCUUCUGUUGAUCCUGACUGCUCCUAUCUAGAUAUCUUUCCGGUUGGUAUAUCAUGUCCUCAGCGAGGGGUUAAGUUGCUUGGAGGGGCUGUAAGUAUUGAUGCAUCAUUUAUUGUGGGUAAUGUUCGUCAACGAGUGGAUAAGACACUUCAACUUAUGGACUUAUUACCACAGCUAAAGGAUCCGCAAUGUGAGUUGGCACUUUUACGUUCUUGUAUGGGAUUAUGUAAACUCACCUUUGCUCUCCGUACUUGCCCCCCUGAUUAUGUUCAGGAAACAUCCGAAUGGUUUGAUCACAAGCUUUGUGCAGCCCUUCAAAAUAUUGUGGUUUCUGAUGGACCUGGUUUUAGCUAUCUACAGUGGCGUAUGGCAACCCUCCCAUUAUGUAUGGGUGGACUUGGUAUCUAUUGUGCUACUGAUGUUAUGAAGUUUGCUUUCGUAGCUUCACGUACGCAAACCAAGGAUCUCCAAGACCACAUUCUUCGAGGUUGUGACACUCCACCUAUGGGUAAUGUUUUCGAUACUGCCAUUGCUAGUUUACAUCUUUCUAUACCUGAUUUUGAUCUCAGUAAUCUUGCUCCAACUGCUACCGUCCCCUUCAGACCCCAACAUGUCUUAGCGGAAGCAUACUACAACAAGAUUAGUUCUGGUCUUGAGAGGGAAUUUGAGUUGUCAGCUAGACAAAAAGCCGUGAUUGGAUGUGUGCAGUCUGAACAUGCCAAAGAUUUUCUCCUUGCUAUCCCGAUGGAAGGGCUUGGACAACGCAUGACGCCUGUAGAAUAUCGUGCCAUUCUUCGUUAUCGAUCGAUGAUCCCUCUAUAUUCAGAUGGUGAGCUUUUUCCAGUGUGCAAGAAGAGUAGACUUGAUGCUUUCGGGGACUAUGCGGCCCAUUGUAAGCAUUACCCCGGCUUCAAGUACAGGCAUGACCACGUUAGAGAUAUCUUGUGUGAUGUGUUCUGGCGGGCUGGCGUACAGAUUAAGAAGGAGGCUCCUGUUAACUUUCUCACUGAUCCUAAGGAAGGAAGAUCGACAUUACGUCCUGUUGAUAUUCUGGUCUACAUUUGGUUUGAAGGUAAACAUGCGUGUGUUGAUGUUACAGGGGCGUCUCCGAUGGUUGGGUUGAGUGCUGGGAUUUUUGAGGUGGGGCUAGCAGCUAGCAAUGCAGCAGCGACAAAAGUGGAGAAACAUGACGGAGCUUGUAGGGCUAACCAACAUAGUUUCAUCCCCUUUGCAUUUGACACAUUUGGAUUGCUAGGCUCAGAAGUAGUUGAGCUCCUCAGGAGAGUGCAGAAGAUAAUGGAUAACAACGUGAUGACUGCAGGUUCGAACGAAUAUGUAUUUAGGAGAAUCGGGUUUGCUAUCUAGAAAGGACUUGCCGCGCAGUUUGUAGCGCGUUUGUCCUCUACUUUUGUGUAAUUCGUUGAGCUUAUCAAAUAUAUUUGUUUUAGUUAAGAAAAUAAAAAAUUAUUCUUUUUAACCUAAUUCUAAUUAACCGGGCAUCAAACACAUCACAACCAUGUAUCUCAAUCUACCGUUACUAUACACAAGAAAAUCAUACCAAAUUAUUUAACCCAUCAUAGCCAAAGAUCUCGAUCCAAUGUUACCAAACUCGAGAAAAUCUUAGCCACCACUUAACUCCAAAUUUCACCAUUUUAUAU
Molecule: long non-coding RNA, 56823 nt
Filed under: Aquilegia coerulea
Lineage: Eukaryota; Viridiplantae; Streptophyta; Magnoliopsida; Ranunculales; Ranunculaceae
Description: long non-coding RNA (ACOE_LNC001840)
Source: RNAcentral